GUACCUAUAACCAAAGUACUAUAUAACCUUUUAUGUAAUCAUGCAGUCAGUGACUAUUGGCCAUAAAUCAAUUUAACAAGGUAUGAAAAUUACAGAUAACAGAAAUCUGGCCUUGCUGCAGUGCUUAAGUUUUUAAUAUCUAUAAGCCGAAGUCCUAACAUAAAUGACUAAGGUCAUAGUUGAAGACACCAGGGGUAAAGGGUUAUGGUUUCAAAUGAUCCACCUCCCUCUGAAAUCCUAAAACCCACCCAGUUAUUACUCAGUAAUCUGUAGUUUACACGAUGCUCCCUAUUGAUAGAAAUAUCUUGGUGUCCUCCUAUCUAAAUAUUUAAGAGUUUAGUGGCUGUGUUUAUAUUAGCUAAUGAAGAAGCCGUAAAUUAUAACUUCUUCAUCUAAUAUUCAACGAUGAAUCCCAAGUUAUGUUUAUCCUCCCCUCAAGAGAUGCUGCGAUCAACAUAGACUACAGCAAUGAACAGAUUCAGUAUCUUUCCCCUUCAUAUAGAUUUUCAGUUAGCAAAUGUAGUGAUUUCACAAUUUUGCUAGUAUAUCCAUUCAUUAAAUCUGCUGGAAUAUCCUGUAGGAUUUAACAAGGUAUUAUUUUUCACAUUCACAGUGGGAUGUUUCUUUUCAAGCACAGAUGGGACAAUUGCUUUAGAGAUUUAUAUAAUUAAAAUAAAGCUUCAAAAUUUACAGUUAAGCAAGGAAGCUUAUAUUCCCUCCGUUUCAAAUUGUAAAUCGUUUUGGCUUUUUUAGAUACAUGAUUUUUGCUAUGCACCUAAAUGGUUAUGUCUAGAUACAUACCAAACUCUAUGUAUUUAUAAAAGUCAAAAUGACCUAUAACUUGAAACAGAGGAAUUGCUUAAAUGCUGUUGGAAAAUAAUAUAAUCCUUGAUACGCGGAUAACUGAACCAGAAUAACGAUGUCAUAGAAUGUUACUAAAAAUAAAAAUAUAAGUAUUACCUUGUCAUAGAAUGCAUAAAGCGUGUGAUCAGCAGACAAUUGCUUUAGCUCUGAGGCUUGGCUAUCUUGCCCUGCACAUAAGCUUGCAACUUCAACUUGUGUUGUUGACACUAUGAUUCGGCUUCCUUUGUUGUUGUUUGGCAGGCAUUUUUCGAUCUGGUCCCACUCUUCAAUGGUGCAGAGGUUAGUAAGCACAAUGAGAAACCUCUUCUCCUUCACAUAUCCAUCGAACUCCUGAACUAAAUCGUGCGCGGUCUUCUCUGUGUCUAAUAUAUCUUUAAAUCCUUCCACUGCAAGAAAUUGGUUCACUAAGCUCCGGACAAAGCCUUCUGAACUGAAUGGAUGAGUCACCCUCACCCAUGCUCGGCUGGGAAAUUUUCUUUGGGUGUCUGGAUUCUUGUAAGCCGCCCUGAUGAUGGAUGUUUGGCCGAUAUCACCACCUGUUCCCCACACCGCAAUGACUCUAAGGUCAUCAUCCUCCUUGUUGAUCAGUUGGACGAGAUCCACUCUCUGAUUCUCCUUUGCGGCACGCCUUGCAUCAUCAACACCGAAUAUGGCUGCAGCAAUGAUGCUUGAUUGCACAGUGGCAGCUGUGGCCUUGGAUCCAGAGCCCUUGAUGAGGCGGUACCGCACAUUCCUCUGGCUCACAUCCUCAACCUUGGCCCUGAGCUCCUUCAUCUUCUUGGCCACACGGCGCCGCUCGAGCAGCUUGCGAGGGAAUCGCCACCAAGAUGGCCUCUCCACACGGACAGCAAAAUCUUGGAGACUGUCCUCGACGUCAUAGGCCGUGUCACGGACCUGCUUCACCCAGGUCUUCACCACCUUGUUGUCGUCUCGCUCCUCGUGUGCCUCCAUCAUGAAAGACUGCAUCAUCUCAAGCUCAUCCGCGACGAACGCAUGAUCUCGCUGGAUACCGAGCUGCAAGGCUACCUCCUCUGCAAAGGCAGAUUUCGCGUAGCCGAGCGCUCCAUUCAGCACGGACUUGCCCACACUCAGUGCCGUCGCCUCCAUCGUUCUGCUGUGUUUCUCCGUGGAUCUAUACAAGGCUCAAAUUUAGAAGCUAAAACUCCGAGGCAGAAAAGGAUAGAUGGACAAGCGUUGAUGCCACCCAGCAAGAUGGCAAGUACCUGAAUUUUGGUGAACGCACAACCAAGGCAGGGGCAGAUCUAGAGGUAAAUAUGCUGCAAAAUACAUUCUUGCUGUAAAUACAAAUAAUACAAUCUGUGAGAAACUGAAGAUCUUUGAAAGUAUACCUUCUGUGGCCUAUGAGAUCUUGUGGCGUGGAAGUAAAUACAGCACUCUACUGCUUUGAUCCGGCGAGGCUCAAGCUCACGGGACGGCCCACACUCACACGCCCUGACGUGACCCGGCAAGCCAGCAAGGUUGAGGCCAAAUGGUGUGGAUGCGUGAUUCCAAGGCAGUAGGCACCGAGAUGGCGGCGCCGCCCUCGCCGACGAGCUACGCCGCCACUACUCUUGCUGUCUUGCACCCGGUCGGCCUGUCGCCGCUGACACUCUGUGGUGGCUUGGUAGUCACCAGUUACUCCUCAGAAGUACCGCAUGCUGGCUGGGAGCAGUGGACUCUAGAUACCUCUAAUGGACUUUGCAGGGUGCUUACAUGGUCAGUAGGGAUUUUGCACACGAGCACUUGUUGGGGUCGGUUAGCAGCCGCCUGCCAAUUUCCUCUACACAUUAGCAAAUAAUGUGUAGAUUUUUUCAAUCAGUUAGCAAUUCCCUCGGGAGUAGAUUUACACAUUAGCAAUUCCCUCGGGAGUAGAUUUUUUCAAUCAGUUAGAUCCAAAGCGAUUGGGUAGCAGAUGUCAGUAUGUCACAUGGGGCGGUACAUUGGCAACAAUAAGAUACUUAAAGAGCUAACUGGCCGACGAUGCUACCGAAGACUUAACUAAUUACUACUACCUUUUGGUGGACCAACCUAUACAGACACGUAACACAACUGUCCUAGAAAUAUAGUUGCGCACAAGAUAAAAUUGCAUAACCCAAGCACCUUCUACUAAGGUUGAAAUGUUCGUUAUACAAACCAUGGCCCAUGGCACACAAGCUGAGUAAACUCCAAAAGGGUUCUGCAUACAACCUAAAACAAUCUUACAACAAAGAAACAGACAAACCCAAUGGACAAUAUCCAUGUAUACUUCGUUUCAGAAAGGUGUUCCGUUUGCAUUAUGCUUUAGUGUAGCACCAGGCUAAAAUGCAGGACCGUCUUCUCGAGCUCAUCCCUGAUGAAUGCCUGGUCUCGCUGGACACCAAGCUGCAACCUGCAAGGCCACGUCCUCUGCCAAGGAAGAUUUCGCGUAGCCAAGUGCUCCAUUCAGCACAUACUUGCCCACACUCAGUGCUGUCGCGUCCGUAGCUCUGCAAGCUGUGUUUCUCCAUGUUUUUUUAGAUUAGGGAAAUAUCCGGUCUUACGCCAUCUGCCACAAGGCCUUACAUAAAGUUUCACCAAACAGAAGAUGACAGACACUAGGCCUCAAUCUUAUUCCUGGAACUCCACCCAAACUAGCUGAAGAUUUCCAUGACAGCAAUCUCCAAAUUGCGACAGCUUUCUUUCAAGGCGACCUUCUCUUCCUCGUUAGAUAGCAGCGACCAACAUAAUGUCCAGUAUAUCCCUCUAAGAUUACCUUGCAUAAGAGAGUUAGGCUUGGAUCUUUUGAGCACUACAUCAUUCCUACUUAACCAAAUAGUCCAAUAAAGACUCAAUGCACCAACUAAAAUCUGAUUUCUAAGCUUUACAGAAAAAGUUUCUAAUCCAAGAACCAUACAAAUUCGAUACAUUGGUAGGCGAUUGAAUAUCAAAUGUGAUGUAAACAGAAUUCCAAAUUGUUCUAGCCAAAUGACAGUAAAAAAAUAAAUGUUGAAUCAUCUCACUAGAGCUACAGAAGCAACACCUAAUACUGCCUUUCCAAUUUCUCUUUACCGAGUUGUGGCAGACCUGAUGCUCACCUCACACAUCUGGCCUGAUGACUCUACAAAGUGACUGAGCUGGCGCCACAGCUGCACUCUUGGCGUAUGGUCCUGGAACGAAUCCAGAUCAAGUGACUUUGCCCAUGUGAAGCACAGUCAACGUAUCGACAGGUCAAAGUGUAACAGAGAGAGGAGCUGGUUUGGACGGAUCGAUGUCCUAUAGCCUUGCGGUGGUUGGGAGCAAAGUUUCCCUUCCCCUGCAUGCAUGUACUUGAAUCCAUUAUUUUGCAAUUCACCAAGCCAAAGAUGCCCAAAGAGCUCAGUGAGGCGUUCGAUGUAGGCAAAGUACUCACACACUCUGGUGAUAAUCAUACUGCUUAUUUGAUUGAUGGUGGCCUGGGUGCUGAGUACAGUAGCAUUUAUUUUAUGUUGUGGAGUGUACUAGUUGUUGAGACAGGCUGUAAAGAUACACCAUGUUUGAUUACAUGCAAAAAAUUUUUUUUUGAGAAGGUUACACCCUGCUUUGGACAUGGUAACAAUGCAACCACUCCUCCAAGUUCCCUUUCUUCUUUUUUUAUUCUACUACACGGAGAUCGGCGCAACAUCAAGCAUGAGUAAAGAUGCACGAUCGCAGAAAGCUCCUCAUAGUCAAGUUCUAAUCAUUCAAGAAUCAAAGCAAGCAACAACAGCUUGAAACUGGCUCACCAUUUUGGACUACCAAACUCUGAACAAAUACUUCUGGACUGAAAGGAUGCAUCACCCUCACCCAUGUUCGGCCAGGAAAUUUGCUUUGGACGUCUAGGUUAUGGUAAGCCGCCCUGAUGAUGGAUGUUUGGCCGACAUCACCACAUGUCCGGGUUCAGCUACAAUUGUAGGCGACAUAAACCGGAAAAGGACAGACCGGAGGGAUUAGAGUUUUUUUUUUCCUCCUUUUUUGAGAUGGGGAUUUAAGCAUUCUUAGGACGGAGGAGAGGAGGAGAGCGUGGUGCGGCACGUGACCUCAAUUUCUGUCAUUAGCUUGAAUCGUCACUAUGAACAUGUACUAAAAAGUAAAAAUUAGCAUAAUACUCCGUAGUUGCCAAUGAGUACCCACUAGUAGAGAACUGACUUUCGAUCCACCCCCUUUUAUCCCGGUUUAAAAGUGGCCCGGGACAAAAGGGGGUGCGCCGGGGUGCGGGAAUUUGGAGGGGAGCAUUAGUCCCGGUUGGUAAUUGCAACCGGGACUAAAGGCCCCCCUUUAGUCCCGGUUGCAACGGCUAGCGGGGGGCCGUCGGUGGCGGGACCCUUUUAUCCCGGUUGGAGGAUCCAACCGGGAUAAAAGGGACACCCUUUUAUCCCGGUUGGAGGCACCAACCGGGAUAAAAGGGUUAGUCCCGGUUGGUGCCUCCAACCGGGAUAAAAGGGUGUCCCUUUUAUCCCGGUUGCAUCCUCCAACCGGGACUAACUUUCCAACCGAGACAAAAGGUUUGUCUCGGUUGGAGUUUUUAACCGGGAUUAAAACUCAUCCCCCACUAUACCCCGAGACAGAGACUUUCUUCUUCCUCCAGCCCGAGCAGUCCAGCACAUUGAUAGAGAGCUGAGCUUCACCUACUCUCCGGUGGUGCCCAAGCAAGGGAGGUGCUGCCCGAAGUUUUUUCCCUCAUUUUCGUGGGAAUUUGACUCAGCCAACAAGUGCUGCGAAGGUUUGCUACUUCAUCCUCGUGUUAUGCUUUGAUUUAUGCUUUGGAGAUGGAAAGAUUAUUUGCUACAAUGUGAUGAUGAAGUAGAAAAAUGGAGAGGUAUUUUGAGCUAGAAUGUGAGGGAGAUUGAUGUGUCAUAUAUAGUAUGCAUUAUUUCAGUGGUUUAAAAAUGAUGCUACCUUGUCUAGACGGUUUAUCUUAUCAAAUUCAAUAUGGUUUUUUAAAUCCAUAUACUUGUUGAACUUGCAUACCGUGUUCAUUUCGGCGAGAAUGUUCUCCGCCGAGCAGCAACGUAUGUCAAGAAGGAGGUUCGAUUCUACGAGAAAGAGUGAAUACGGACAUCGUGACCGUGUCCCCUUUUCCGUAGCAUCUAACCUCUUUCAUGACGAAGUGCGGUGCCGCCUAGCUGAGGACAUCCUCGCGAAAUGAACACGGUCUUCAAGUUCAACAACUUCUGUAGUGGUAAGGAAAGAAUUUUUGUACAUAGAUGACUUCUGCUACUUGUUGAACUUGCAUACCGUGUUCAUCUCGCCGAGGAUGUUCUCCGCCGAGCAGCAACGUAUGUCAAGAAGGAGGUUCGAUUCUACGAGAAAGAGUGGAUACGGACAUCGUGACCGUGUCCCCUUUUCCGUAGCAUCUAACCUCUUUAAUGACGAAGUGCGGUGCCGCCCAGUUGAGGACAUCCUCGCGAGAUGAUCACGGUCUUCAAGUUGAACAACUUAUGCAGUGUUUGGGACUUUAAUUUAAAUAUGUGUAUUUGGAUCUUCAUGUUGUUGUAUUGUACCAUGUUGUUUGGAUCUUUAAUCGAUUUUCACGCGUAAUCCAUUGUCAAGUGUAAUCCAUUUUCGUGCGUAAUACGAUGCAGAUGGACCGGCAUUGGAUGUAUAAUGCAGACAGGCGGAGCAAGGUGUUUAUUGAUGGCUUGCAUUAUUUUCUCGAAGUGGCAAAAGCGAACAAGCCAGAGAAUGGGUUCGUAUGUUGUCCAUGCUUCCAAUGCAAUAACAGGAAGGAGUAUUCAAAGGAUUCCUGGGGGAUUAUUCACAGCCACUUGUUUAAAUACGGUUUCAUGCCUAACUAUUUGGUUUGGACCAAGCACGGUGAACUAGGGGUUGUAAUGGAAGAUGGCGAGGAGGAGGAGGAAGAUGACACCAUUCCGGACUGGGUUGCAGGCCAAGCUUUUGCAGGUACUACAAUGGGCGAGGCUGAUGAAGAUGAGUUUGCAGAAAAUGACCCUACUGAUGACCUUGGUCAGGUGAUACGAGAUGCAUACAGAGAUUGCGACACUGAGAAGGAAGCAGCAAAGUUGCAGCGCAUGAUAGAUGAUCACCAAAAAUUGUUGUACCCAGGUUGCCAGCAGGGCCAUAAAAAACUAGGUACGACACUAGAAUUUGUGCAAUGGAAGGCAAAAAAUGGUGUGUCCGAUAAGGCAUUUCAGGGGAUGUUGAGAAUUGUCAAGAAGAUUCUCCCCGAGAAUAAUGAAUUACCGUCCACAACAUAUGAAGCUAAACAGAUUAUUUGCCCUCUCGGAUUGGAUGUUCAGAAGAUACACGCAUGCCCUAAUGACUGUAUCCUCUAUCGUGGUGAUGAAUACGAGGAAUUGGAUGCUUGUCCCGUCUGCGAAGCCCUGCGGUAUAAGAUCAGGCGAGAUGAUCCUGGUGAUGUCGAGGGGCAGUCUCCCAAGAAGAGAGUUCCCGCGAAGGUGAUGUGGUAUUUCCCUAUAAUACCACGCUUGAAGCGCUUGUUCAGGAACAAGACGAAUGCUAAGUUGAUGCGAUGGCACAAAGAAGACCGUAAGGAAGAUGAGAUGCUGAGACACCCCGCAGAUGGGGCACAGUGGAGAUCAAUUGAUAGAACAUUCCCAGACUUUGAAAGUGAAGCAAGGAACAUAAGGUUUGGUUUAAGCACUGAUGGAUUCAAUCCAUUCGGUGAGUUGAGUAGUGGUCAUAGUACUUGGCCUGUGACCCUUUGUAUGUUCAACCUUCCUCCUUGGCUGUGCAUGAAGCGGAAGUUCAUUAUGAUGCCGGUGCUUAUCCAAGGCCCAAAACAACCCGGCAACGACAUUGACGUGUACCUAAGGCCGUUGGUUGAUGACCUUUUACAGCUCUGGAAGGAAGAAGGUGUAUGUGUGUGGGAUGAGGAUAGACAAGAGAUCUUUAAUCUACGAGCACUGUUGUUCGUAACCAUCAACGAUUGGCCUGCAUUGAGUAACCUUUCAGGACAGACAAAUAAGGGAUAUCGGGCAUGCACCCACUGUUUAGAUGACACAGAUAGCAUGUACUUGAAGCACUGUAAGAAGGUCGUCUAUAUGGGUCAUCGUCGAUUUCUCCCUGCUCACCACCAGCUGAGAAAGAGCGGGAUGCAUUUCAAAGGGACGCCAGACCAUCGUAAAAACCUGCACACCGUAAUGGAAAACGUGUGUUCGAGAUGAUGAAGGAUGUACAUGUAGUCUUUGGAAAGGGACUUGGUAGCCAACCUGUUCCGAACGAUGAUAACGGACAUGCACCCAUGUGGAAGAAAAAGUCAAUAUUUUGGGAGCUACCUUAUUGGGAAAUCCUAGAGGUUCGCAACGCAAUAGACGUGAUGCACCUGACGAAGAAUCUUUGCGUGAACGUGCUAGGCUUCAUGGGUGUUUAUGGAACCUCAAAAGAUACAUUGGAAGCAAGACAGGACCUGAAAGCCAUGGGGCAACGAGAUGACCUACAUCCGGAAAAGAGAGAUAAUGGACAGCACUACUUACGUCCUGCCAGUUACACUCUCAGCAAGGAGGAGAAGGAUAGCAUGUUUGAAUGCUUGAAUAGUAUGAAGGUCCCGUCUGGGUACUCCUCGAAUAUAAAGGGAAUAAUAAAUAUGAAACAAAAGAAGUUUACAAAUCUCAAGGCUCAUGACUGCCACAUGUUAAUGACCCAGUUGCUUCCGGUUGCACUGAGGGGUGUUCUACCCGAAAAUGUCCGGUUGCCGCUCGUAAAGCUAUGCGCAUUUCUCAAUGCGAUUUCGCAGAAGGCAAUCGAUCCAUCCAAGCUAUCAAAGCUACAGAACGAUGUGGUGCAGUGUCUUGUCAGUUUUGAGUUGUUAUUUCCACCAUCCUUCUUCAAUAUUAUGACGCACUUACUGGUUCACCUAGUAAAAGAGAUUGGUAUUCUCGGACCUGUAUACCUGCACAAUAUGUGGCCUUUCAAGAGGUUCAUGGCAGUCCUAAAAAACUAUGUUCGUAAUCGUGCUCGUCCAGAAGGAAGCAUCGCCAGGGGAUAUGGAACAGAGGAGGUGAUCGAGUUUUGUGUUGAUUUUAUUGAUUCAAUUGACUCGAUUGGGGUUCCAACUUCACGCCACGAGGGGAGGCUCCGAGGAAUGGGCACCCUUGGAAGGAAAUCAAGUUUGAGCAAUGAUACUAAUUUGUUCGACAAGGCACACUACACUGUUCUACAACAGUCAUCCUUUGUGUCUCCGUAUAUCGAGCAGCACAGGCAGAUGGUAGCUUCCAAAAACCCGACCAAAUCCGAUGCUUGGCUUACCCGUCAUCACAUGGAAACUUUUCCCUCCUGGUUGCGCCAACAACUUAUGGGUAACUCUGAGAUUCACCCACAGCUUGCUUGGUUAGCCAGGGGACCUGCUACCACAAUCGUCAAAUUCCAAGGCUAUGAGAUAAAUGGUUACACAUUUUACACGAGAGCCCAGGACCAGAAAAGCACGAACCAGAAUAGUGGUGUCCGCAUAGAUGCCAUGGACAGAAAUAAUAGCAAGGAGUCGUAUUAUGGUUUCAUACAGGAGAUAUGGGAACUCGAAUACGGACCGCUGUACAUCCCUCUAUUUCUUUGCAAUUGGGUGAAGCUAACUGCCGUCACCAAAGAUCAGUACGGAAUGACAAUAGUAGAUCUGAGCAAGACUGGAUACAGUGAUGACCCAUUCGUACUUGCCAAUGAUGUGCAUCAGGUGUUCUAUGUGAAGGACAUGUGCAGCAAACCCAAGAGGAAUGCAGAAGAGACAUGGGAGCCAAAGUGCCACAUAGUUCUUCCAGGUAAAAGAAAAAUCGUGGGAGUCGAGGAUAAAACAGACCAAUCAGAUGAUUAUGAUCAGUUUGAUGGCAUGCCUCCAUUCGACGUUGAAGUUGAUCCAAGCAUCCUGCUGUCCAAAGAGGAGGCUCCGUACUUACGCCGCGAUCAUGAUCAAGGAACUUUCAUGAAGAAGAAAUUUUACAACGUUGUAUUGUAAUGCGUUAAAUGUGCAUGACCUUUGUGUAUUAAUUGAUACAAUUUGUAAUUUACCCUAUGUAUGAUUUCAUGUGUUAUUAAAUUUGUUAGGUGAAGAUUUUUUAGAUAUACAUGAACAUUGUUAACCACAUACUAACAUGGAUUUUUCUGCGCAUUCAAAUAAUUUAAUUGAAUAAUUUAUUGAUCACAGCAAUGCAGUAAAAUAAAUAUUUUACAGGCUACAUGAGUUGGUAUAGAAAUAAUGAUUACUUCAUACUUAUUGUCAAUUUACUCGUUAAUUAAAUAUAUUUUUGCAUGUACAAAAUCUGAGAAGGUUUUGUUUUUCAUCCUGGAAUGCAGUGAAAAGGUUAAAUAAAAUCCAUUUCCAAAAAACAGGCGGGAGAAGAAAAAUAGGAAAAAGGACCUUUUGUCCCGGGUGCUAACAGCAACCGGGACAAAAGGCCCCCCUUUUAUCCCGGUUGCAAACGGCAACCGGGAUAAAAGGGUACGUUUCGUCUCCCGCCCGAACGUACCCUUUUAUCCCGGUUGCCAUUUGCAACCGGGACAAAAGGCCCCCCUUUUAUCCCGGUUGGUGACGGGACCCGGGAUAAAAGGGUGCGCUCCCAGCCCCACCUGGCGGGGGCACCCUUUUGUCCCGGGUCCCGUUACCAACCGGGAUAAAAGGGGGGGGGGCCUUUUGUCCCGGUUGGUAACGGGACCCGAGAUAAAAGGGUGCCCCCGCCAGGUGGGGCUGGGAGCGCACCCUUUUAUCCCGGGUCCCGUCACCAACCGGGAUAAAAGGGGGGGGCCUUUUGUCCCGGUUGGUGACGGGACCCGGGACAAAAGGCUCUUUUGUCCCGGGUGCCAUUACGAACCGGGAUAAAACGGGGGGGGGGGGGGGGGGUUUAAAAGCACUGUACUCCCUUCUACCCCCCGCCAGUUCCACACUUAGCGAAAUUUUCGCAAGUCCCGCGCUCUCCGCCCGUCGCCGCCUGUCCGCCUCCCUCGCCGGCCGCCGCCGUCGUCGUCCCCCAUUGCGCCGUCGAAGUCCCGCAUUGCACCGUCGUCGUCGCCCGUCCGCCUCCCUCGCCCGUCGCCGCCCGUCCGCCUCCCUCUCCGCCCGUCGCCGCCCGUCCGCCUCCCUCGCCGGCUGCAUCGCCCCUCGUCGCCGGCUCCAUCCUCGUCGCCCCUCGUCGCCCCUCGCCGGCCGCCGUCGUCGUCUUCGCCUCGGCCGCCGUCGUCCCGCCGUCGUCGUCUUCGUCCUCGUCGCCGCCCCGGCCGCCGCUGUCCCGCACGCCGCCCGGCCGCCGCCGUCCCGCCGUCACGCCGCCCCGGCCGCCGCCGUCAGGCCGCCCCGGCCGCCGCCGUCCCGCCGCCCCGGCCGCCGCCCCGCGCGCGAGAGGUCUGCCGCGCCGGCCGGUGCGCCGGGAGAGCUGGCCGUUUUCUUUUAAUUUUUAAUUUUGUUUUUUUUAGAUGGAAUUGUAAUUUUGUUAAGUUAGAUUUUUAGAUUUCUAAUUUUGUUAAGUUAGAUUUUUAGAUUUCUAGUUAGUUUGUUAAGUUAGAUUUGUAGUUAGGUUGUUAACUACCGUCCCGCCGUCGUGAUCGCCGCCGUCCCGCCGAGUAGCUACCGUGAGAGUCGCCUUGUAGCCGUCGUGAUCGCCGCCGUCCUGCCGCCCAUCAGAACGUAGUAGCUUAGGCACCGCCCGUGGUUCCGGUGAACCGCCUCCGCCGCCCUGACCGCCGCCGUCCCGCCUUCGCCGCCCUUAUCGCCGUCGUAGAAAUUCGUAGAAAUUCGUCAAAAUUCGUAGAAAUUCGUCAAAAUUCGUAGAAAUUCGUCAAAAUUCGUAGAAAUUCGUCAAAAUUCGUAGAAAUUCGUCAAAAUUCGUAGAAAUUCGUCAAAAUUCGUAGAAAUUCGUCAAAAUUCGUAGAAAUUCGUAGAAAUUUGUAGAAAUUCAUAGAAAAUCGUAAAAAUUUGUAGAAAUUCAUAGAAAUUCGUAGAAAUUUGUAUAAAUUCAUAGAAAUUCAUAGAAAUUCGUAGAAAUUUGUAUAAAUUCAUAGAAAUUCAUAGAAAUUCAUAGAAAUUCAUAGAAAUUCAUAGAAAUUUGUAUAAAUUCAUAGAAAUUUGUAUAAAUUCAUAGAAAUUUGUAUAAAGAUUCCGGACUUUGUACGAUUCAUGUUAUUUUAUGAUUUCAUUAUAUACAUGUAUGAUUCUGAACUGUGAUUAUAUACAAAUUUGUAUUAAGACGAUUUCUAUGACUGUCAUGUAUGAUUCCAUGUAUGUUUGCAGCAAUAGUUGAAAUGGCAGACGAUGAGACCGCAAGGUAUAUCAUGGAGCAGAUAAUCGCUGGUGAUGGUAGUGGCGACAACGUUCCACUAUCAUACACGGAUGAAGAGGGCACCCAGGCGGACAUGUUCCUCAACAUGUCUGCCGAUGUGAAUGAAGAGCAACAGCCGCAGCAACAACUUGCCGUGGCGGAAGGUUCCGGCGAGGUAUAUACAACCAUUCUUGUAUUGUUUCACGCCACCGCUACUAGUACGUACUAAUUAACGAAUCUUAAACUGUUAGCCCUCCGGAUCGACACAAGGGCAGAAGACCCGAGGUCGUACAAAGGUGAUGGAAGGGAGGCUUGUCAUCACCGAAGUUACAGAUGAGGGCAGGCCGGUUGCUCCCGAGAAAGUCGCAAAGAAGUACGUUGGUCAAAUCGGGGCAAUCGUCCGGGACAACGUGCCUAUCAGCAUCAGAGAAUGGAAGGGCAGAAGCGAUAAUCCGUACGCCCUUCCAGAGACAGAAAAGAAUAUGCUGUGGGAAGACGUGAAGAGGCAUUUCACAUUCCCCGAAGAUUAUAGCGAGAAGGAUGUCAAAGCGUGGACACUUAAGAAGAUGGCUACUCAAUUCCAGACAUUCAAGAAGAUGCUGGACACCCACUACAUCAUGAAGGGCAAAACUCCAGACUUCAACGCGUGGCCCAAGUUGAGGGACCACUGGGAUGCAUUUGUUGAAUACAAGAGGAGUGAAGAAGGUGUGAAAAAGAUCACGACCAACGUUGCAAAUGCUAGUCAGAAGGGCUACCACCAUCAUUUGGGGCGAGGUGGGUAUGGCUCAGCAAUUCCCAAGUGGAGAAAGAUGGAACAAGAUCUGAUCGAACGGGGAAUCAUACCUGCAACUAUUGAAUGGCCCGAACGAUCAAAGAACUGGUACUACGCUCAUGGAGGCUCCCUAAGCUAAGAGGAUGGGACGCUGAUUUUCAAUGACAGAAUACGUGAGAAGGCCGAACAUCUCAUGAAGAACAUUGAAGAUUCCAAGGCUGGGAGGUUGAGGGUGGACCGAGAAAAUGAUGAGCUCACAUUGGCCCUCGGUAAUCCAGAGCACCCAGGACGUUGCCGGGGGUUCGGGGUGGUUCCGUGGAAGUUCGCUUUCUGAGGCGACAGCGCCUCUUACAGAAGCCGGAAGCGAAGAAAGGAACAGAUGGAGGAGAGCUGGCGGCAGAUGCUAGAACAACGAAUGAUGGAUGAAAUCAAUCGGCGGGUGGCCGACGCAGUUGCGGAGUUGGCGCAAUCUGGAGCACUGCCGAAUCCUCACACCGCCAGCCCUUCUCAAUGCCUCGGGAGCAGUUGUGCUUCUACAGGGGUCCCCAAUGCGCAGACGCCCAGGUUACCCGUGGAGGAGCAACGGUUCCCCGUGGAUGCCAUCACGCAACGGACCUCAUGUGAGCUGCAUGCACCGGUCGGCAACCUCACUAUUAAGGUAUACUUAUACAUAAUAUUUAUGCAAUCUUGUCAAUUGAUCCAGGCCUCGAGAUCGGAGUUCAACUUGUUUACUUCUGCUAUAUGUAUAGGUAGCGUACGGGAGUGCGUUACCAACGCUGGCAGGGCAGAGCAGUCAUGGCAUGGACAUUCCAACAGGCUACGCCAGCGUCUGCGUCGAGCAAAUAGUAGAUGCCCAGUAUGAAGGUCUAGAGCUCGACUUCCCGGGAGGCGACGGGGAAAAGACAUUGGCAGAUGCGCUUCAUGGGAUCAUUCUAUGGAAGAAACGCUACAUCAUUAUUUCCCGCACGGAGCCAUCUCCUCAGACCUCAAGACCGCUCCCCGUAGAUCCCGAGCAGCGAUCUUCUCCUCAUACCUCGAGACCGGCAUCUCCUGCUCCAGGACCGUCGCUUCCAUCUAUAUCAAGGUCUCCAUCUCCACCACAUCCUGGUGCUGGGAGCGACGACGACAAUAACAACACCCCUCCCCGAUCACCGUCGCCGGCACCAAGAGCGGCCCCCUCGAAGGAACCUGCAGCACCACUCAAGAAGUCACGAGCACCGCCUCCCAAGCAAAGAUAGCCUCGAAAGAAGAAAACAAAGGUCGACCCUGAAGUGGCUCGCAAGGAACACUUUGAGGCAAUGUCUCAUGCGGAACAGUGGGCAGAAAUCCAACGAGAGGCCAGUGAGUGGUUCAAGAAACAAGCCGAAUUAAAAAAGGCAAGGGAGAUGGAGCCACCGCCAGUAAGUCGGCGGGAUUUAAACUUUUUUAUCAGGAUGGAGGAAGGAGCCAAGAAAAGGAUACCACUCUUGUCAAACUAUGAACGGGCUCUAGUAAAGGCUGAUGAAAAGGAUAAAAGAAAAGGAAAAUCAUCCUCCAGCGGUUCAGUCCCCGACCUCAGCCAUUUAUCAAAGAAAGAUGCUCAACGGGUAAAAGCAAUGCCCUUGGAUCAACAAGAAAAUAUAUUGAAGUUCAUGGAAGAAACAGGUCUGGGACUUGAUGAAUGCAUAGGGCAAGUCGAGAUGCCAACUGCACCGCCCCCUGAGCCGAGAUGGCCUUAUGAGCUAGGCAAGCCUCUAGUGAAGCCGGCAAUGGUACGGAAGCUGUCAACAAAGAUGUACGAAUUCCAUCAAUGGUACAUGACGGCAUCCGCCAAAUCGAGGGAGAUGAUCGGCAUGAAGGUAAAACCGAUAGAUUUUCACGGUGAAGGGGAGAAAGUGCUGUGGCUAGACUUCAAGGAUAUAUACGAAGUGUACCAUCAUGAUGCCCUGGACGUCUCUCUGAUCAACGCUUGGAUUCUGUAAGUGUCCGUUUAUUAUCUCUACAUGUAAAUUUUGGCGUGCGUCACCGUACUAACUUCAUCUUCCAUUUCAUGUAGGAUGCUAAUUCAGACAUGCCGCCGAGAGGCGUACCUACAUGUAGGCUUCAUGGAUCCAUCUGUAGUUAACCAACAACAGAUACAAUUAGCGCCGGAAAAAACCUUUGCCGAAAUAUACAAUUUCCUACACAAACAAACAUUCAAGGACUUCAUACUACUUCCAUACAACUUCAAGUAAGUGUGUGUAUACCGUCUACUUUCGAUGUCUUUUUCCUUAUCUCUACAUGUUAGUUAGCUCUAAUAUGCAUGAACAUUUUACGCACGCAGCUUCCACUGGAUCCUUAUUAUAAUUGAGCCUGAAAGAAGCCACGUCACUGUCUUUGAUUCAUUACGGAAAGAUCCGGUGGACUACCAAGAAUUGCAAGACAUGCUAGGCUUGUAAUAAUUCUGGACCUUUAUCUCUAUGCAAAAAUUUAUUUCCUAAAUUUUAUCCCUGUUACACUAUGUCAUUCAUUAUUCUAAUCCGCAGCGUAUGGAAACAAUUCAUAAGGACACACAAAGGUCCAUUCAAAGAAGAUCUUACAUGGAACACAGACUUCCCGGUACGUAUGAAGUCUGCACAUUUAUUACAUUGUAUAACACGAAUAUUUCAUAACUUAUUUUUUUUCCGCACUGAAGUGCUUAAGACAGGAACCCGGGAAUAACCUAUGUGGCUACUACAUCUGUGAGCACAUGCACAGUUUUUUGGGACCCAAGGGACCGAAGAUGACGCCGCACAACUUUAAAGUACGUAAAAUAAAUAUAUUACUAGUUAAUUAUUUUCUAGCUCCUUAUAUGUAUUUGUUCAUGUAACAUUCACAAAUUUCCAAAUUAUAGAUGUUAAAUAUUCAACAAGGACUCUUGAAGGAAGAAAGAGUAGCGGCAAUAUGUGAAGGUCUCAUUGGAUUCAUAAUGGACGAGGUGGUAAAUCCAAGAGGAGAAUUUUAUUACGAUGGACGACAAUUAGACACUCCUCUCAGCAACACCACGACGGGAAGAUCGUAGGAAGAUACUUUGAUUUAUUUGUAUAUAUGAUCGAUUUGUACUAAUUAAGCUAGUUGAAUUGUGUAUAUGAAUUGUGUAUAAGGAUUGUGUAUAUAUAUAGUAGUUGUAUAAUUACAAAUCCCAUUCGUUUAAAUACUAGUUGAUUUAAUUCAUUCUAAAAAAAUCUCAACUACAAGGUUAACAAAUUAAAAGGGCCGCGGUACUACUAUACGUAUACGUGAUGCAUGCAUGAAAAAUUCAGGCGUCACCAGUGCCAUGCAAGCGCAAUUUAGUCCCGGUUGGAAUUGAGCCGGGACUAAAGGGGACCCCUUUAGUCCCGGUUGGUAAAUCCAACCGGGACUAAAGGGCCUGUCCCGCGCCUGGCGUGGCAGGCCCUUUAGUCCCGGUUGGUGACACCAACCGGGACUAAAGGGGGUCCUUUACUCCCGGUUAAAAUACCCGGGACUAAAGACCCCCCCCUUUUGUCCCGGUUGGUUUAUCCCGGAUGGAUAUCCGAGAGAUAUGACCCUUACCAACCGGGACUAAUGCUCAGUUUUCUACCAGUGACCGGACUCAACUACACAAACUGCUUUCAUACGACACAAAUCAACUAGAAGGCUCUUGCUCCGGCAUACCAGCCAUCCUGAUAGAGCUUCUGGUCACCUACGGAUGUCGGAGACGAUACUUUUAAAAAGUAUUGUUGUGUAUUGGUGAAUCUUUCUUGCCGUUGGCAAAUUACAUGCCUUUGCAGAUCACGUAAGUAUGGUCAUUUGGUCCAACAUGCAACAACCACAGCAACAGCUAGCUGCUUACUCAAUCUAGUCAUUAGUCAAGAUCACAGUAAAAACGCACUCUGAUCCAUCCGUAGCUACAAUGGCAUCAGCAGGAACAGGAAGCAGCUAAGGUAUAUUCCAAAUCCUUUGGAAGGUGACGAAGGUAUUAGCAUGACCACCCCCCUCCGCCGGUGACCAUCCCGGUCCCGGCGUCCACCCCGCCCCGCCGGUGGUCACCCCGACCCCGGCGUACACCUAGUCCCGCCGGUGACCACCCCGGUCCCGGCGUCCACCCCGCUACGCCGGUCACCAUCAUAGUCCCGGCGUUCACUCUGCUCCGUCGGCUCCCUCUCCGGCUCAGGAGACGCUGAUCAUCACCCCAGUUCCGGCGUCAACACCUCUACGUCGGUAUCAUUGCUUGAUCCGGUGCCCACACCCUGUGUAUGGAUCACUGGCGCAGACCUUUGUUCGUGAGUGCAUCCUUUGAAGCUUCCAUCCGGACAACAGCACAGGAGGAAGGUAUCUUCGCAGCUUGACUUGGAAGAGGUUACCCUCUUAACAUCCUACUACAUCUCUUUGCUCUCCGCGUUUGAUCUUAGAUAUGGAUCAUACAAAAUUCAACUUUAGCCUGGGAGAAGACUUUAGUCGGCUGGUUAUGAAUAAGAUUGGUACUCAGGUUACUCUGGAUGAAACAAAAGCAGGAAAUGGUUUUCACCUGCUGGUGGUGUUUAGCAGAAACAGAUUUCGAUUAUCUGCAGAAACAGUAAACACUUGUCUUAACUCUAUUUUGGGAGGAAAAAAGGAAUCAUUCAUGGCAGAAGAAUUAGAAGAACAAAUCUUCAAAUUCAAGGUUUCAUCAAGAGAGGUUGGAUUUCUGAUAGUUAAUCAAGGUCUAGUUCUCUGUGAUCUAUUCAAGCUCUCAUUCUUCCUGCUGAAUGAUGAUGGAUUUGCCAAGGCAUUGAAAUUUGCAAAACAGGAUUCUGGACCUUUGUAUUAUUGGCAAUCUGCUAAAAAAAAAGAAAUCCACGUUGUUGUCCCAGGUACAACAUCCUUACUCUCAUCUUUUAUCUGGAGCCAAUUUAACUCCCCUGGGUUUUAGAGGUCAUGAAUCCAGAAAUAUUGCCACUAGGCUUAAACGCCCUGUUUCUUAUGCUGACAUGGUUAGAAACCACCCCAAAACCUUUCCUGGGGAAAAAGUUUCUCUUCAUAAUAGAGAGAUUUCCUCUGGUAGCCCCUCUUCCCAUAUAGUGCAAAGGGAAAAAUUCUAUCCUGCACCUAGGAAAUCUGUCUUUCAAAGAAUGCAAAACUUGCCUAGACAGUCAGUUUUCGAAAGAUUACAAAUCCCAAGAAAGGCUGCACCCAGAUUUGAACCUUGGCAUUGGAAUAGGAGCAAGAGACAGAAAAUCUCUGAUCCAAGAUAUCCCAGAUACCCCAGGGCUAACAUCUCGGAAUAUGUUCAUGCUUGGACUGAAAAAGACCAGCUCCCAUCUGCCAACCGCUCAAGGAGGUUCUCACCUCAUUGGCUGACUUGUUGGCACUGUAAUCAAGUAGGACACAACUUCCAAACCUGCUCUAGGAGGUUAAGCCUUCAAAAAUUUACGGCAGCUUUUGCCUCGAGGCCUGGCAGUAGCUUUUCCUCGGUAAUUGACGAAAACGGUUGGCCAAGGGAUAUUGGGCUGCGUUGGUUUAAAGCAGGCCAAAAAAUGUCUACUGGGAUAGCCCAAGAAAGCCCACCGGGCACUAUUCCCCUAAAAAAUUUGGGGAAAAUUGAGUGGAGAAUACGAGGAGACACUCCUUCUCCUUCCUCCUCGUUGCCACACAGUACUCCACAGCAACAGCCUGACCCAAAUCAAGAACUCCUCCAUCCUUCCCUUGCCGAGGAUAGAGAGCAAGAACACUCCGCCACCAGCAUGGCCUUCCUAAAUGUGGAUCCAGAACCACUUAUGUUCCCUGGCUUCAAUCGAGUCUUGGUUCAAGGACGACCCAAGUUCACCAGGGUGGUCACUCCAAGAAGCUCUCCGGCGAAUGAAGAUCUUGCGAUCGUCACUGUUUCAAACUUCCCCCCUGGUGAGAUUCCAUUCAAUGCUGUUCAACAAGCUAUAGUUGGGUUGAUUGAGGAUGAUUAUGAGCUUCGUAUCAAAGAAAUCCAAAGAAGCCCUUUUCACAGAACACAAGCUUUUGUCAGACUUAAUAGAGUCACUAAUAGAGAUGCUCUAGUGCAGCAUAGUCCACUUCAAAGCAAUGGUCUUUCAUUUGUUUUUGUCAGGCAUAAUAGAGGCCCCAAUGCCAGGAGAGUGCUAUUCAAUAGAGAAUGUUGGCUACUCUUGAUUGGUUUUCCAAUAGAUUCUAGAGAUAUUGAGGACAUCCGAGAUGCUAUAAAAUCUUUUGAGAGAUUGAUUUGUUGGCAGAAAGACAAUGUCAUGGCUAGGGUGGUUGUUAAAGUCAGAGUCACAGAACUGGAAGAUAUACCACACUACCUGGUUUUUUCAGAGGGGGACGACUUUGAAGGAAUUUCAACCACUGUUCAAGUAGAAAUCAUGCAGCAAAACAUGCUUGGAGGGCAGCUACCAGAUGAAGACAUUCCCCCUCCAGGCUAUGAUGAUGAUUUUGUGUUUCCAGGGCUACAGGCACAUAAUGCAAAUGACAACCAUCAGAUGCCCCAGCAACAAAUCCAAGUUCAGCAAAAUCCACCUAUGGAUGCACAGAUGCAUAAUCAUCAGCAACAGGUAGCUCUCCCAGACUUGAAUGAUGAUCCAGAAGAAGAGGAUCAUAUACAAGAACAAAUGCAGCAACUCAUGGAGGACUUGGAAAAUCAAGCACCAGAACAGAUGGAACUGCAACAGGAUCAGCAGCAAGAAGUUAUGGAUCUCCAGCUUAGUUUGUCCUUAUCUUUACCACCCAACUCGAGCAACAGCAUAGAGGGAGGAAGAAAAGGCUCAGAGAAAAGUGUCGAAGGAACAUCACACCAGCAAGGACAUUUGAAUGAACAACCUGAGAUAGUGUUGGGACUUCCCGCCAUAAUCAAUAUGAAUAUUCAAGGGGAACAGCAUAUGGGCCCACAACAUGGAGAAGAGAAUGUUGGAGCAAAUUUCUUCCUACCAGACUUUCUUAACCCCAUCCAACUUAACUAGGAAGAGGGGGAAGAACAAGGGGCUCAGAUCAACAUGAACAUUGAUGUCAACAUGCUCAUCACCCAAACAGACUACAAUAAUAGGAUGGACCCAGGAUGGGCUGCAAGGGUUGGCAAAGCAAAGGUAGACAAGGCAGAAAACCCAGACUGGCAACACAUCUGGGCACAUCUCUUCCCCACCAACGACACUCCUAAACAGGUGACAACAAUACCUGCUGAUUGGGCACCCUUUUUCAUUAAUAAGCUCUCUACACCUUCUAGAUUUGAUUGGGCCAGAGCCUUUCUUACAUCAAAUGCUAUUGCUCUCUUGUCUUCAAGUGCUACAAAUCUCAAUAUGAUAUCCUUCCAAUUACCAAUGGCUUGCUCUCAACAUGAUCUACCUAAAUGUUCCCUGUCAGAACUCAAAGAUAAUGAAUCUAAUGAGGAUUCUCCUGCUGAUAACCCCUGUCAACAGAAAAAAAUGAGAAGAGAAGAGCCUCAAGUGGAGAUACAAGCUCGGCGCAGUCCAAGAAUUCGACUACGCAAUGCCGGCUUCAAACACUCCAACUGUACCUCCAAGAAAUGUCUUGCAUGUGCUACAGUCCCACCCACCCUAUCAAGUAAAGCUAUGAUGACGGUUGGAACAGAUCAUUGCAAGAUCAGUAAAGAAAAGCUGACUGAGGAGGCGCUCAAAACAAAGAAACAGAAGCAGGCACCAAUUGGGGCAGGAAGAUCUGCUGAAUCAAGGAACAAGGACUCCAUAGAGGAGGGGGAAGGAUCCACAGUCUGAAGAAGAAGCUAUCAAGCUUUUUGGACCAUCUGACAGCUUUUGUCUUUGUCAAAUGCUAGCAAUUUGUAACAGAACUCGAAGGGUCAGGAGUGGAGACUUUUGUAUCUUCCUAAACUUUAUGUCGUUAUUUUGUGAUCAUAGUGAUCGGCAGACCAGGAAAACAAGGGUGGUAACAGUUUUUGUGAUGGAAAAGACAAUCCUUAACAUGGCAACAUUCUAUGAUAACCUUGCUUGUUGGUUUUUUCAAUCUUUUUGUACCUUGCUAGAUGGGAUUCUUUUGUCAGCCUCUACAAUAGGUUUCCUAGAGGUUUUAUUUACGAAAUUCUGGCCUCUGCCUCAAUGACCGAACAUCUUUAACUCUUAUCAUGAAUCUAAUGAAUCGCUCACAAGGGAAAAAGGAGUGGAAGAUCUUGUCUUGGAAUAUUAGAGGAAUAAAUUCAGAUGCAAAAUGGAAUGCAAUCAGGAGCAAAAUCAUAGAAGCAAGGUGUGAUGUGGUAUGUCUACAGGAAACAAAAAGGGAUUCUUUUGACCAGGCUUACAUCAAAAAAUUUUGUCCCCCCCAGCUGAAUGAGUUCUUCUAUAACCCAUCUGUUGGGUCCUCAGGGGGAUCUAUCAUCAUCUGGAAUAACUUGAAAUUUGAUGGUGUUCUGGAAUUUCAAAACUCUUAUGCACAGUCUAUUCUCCUCACUUGUAAAGGGACAGGGGAAUCCUGGUACUUGUCAAAUAUCUAUGCACCUUGCACUACUGAAGGAAAACGAGAAUUCAUACAAUGGUUCAAAGCAGUGGAGAUGGGAGAAGAAGACAAAUGGCUAGUAGUAGGCGAUUUCAAUCUCAUAAGAAGACCAGAAGACAGGAAUAAGCCUGGAGCCAACUGUCAGGAGAUGUUAGCCUUUAAUAACGCAAUAAGCAAGCUAAGAUUGGUAGAACUACCUCUAAAGGGGUGCAGAUUCACGUGGACAAAUAAGCAACAUAACCCCUUGCUGGAAAGAUUGGAUUGGUUUUUCACCUCAAAAGCUUGGACGACCUGCUUGCCCAAUUCCUUUGCAAUAGGACUUUCUAGAGAUAUCUCAGAUCACACGCCAUGUGUGAUAACAGCCCAAACAAGCAUGCCACAAUCAUCCUCCUUCAGGUUUGAGAAUUAUUGGUUACAACAUGAAAGUUUUCUGCCUAUUUUACAGCAUGCAUGGAGCCUACAAUCCCCACAAGAGGACCAGGCUAUGAAGAUUAUUGGAAAACUUAAAAAGCUAAGAAGGAUCCUCAAAAUGUGGAAAUCGCACUUACCAAGUCUAGAGAAAACUAUACAGAACAACAAAUCAACUCUACAAUUCAUGGACCUAAUAGAGGAGUCAAGAGAUCUCAGUAUAGAAGAAUGGAACUUUAGACAUUUGGUGGAACAGAAUUUGGAACAGCUACUUCUUCAGCAGAGAACUUACUGGAAGCAAAGGGGGAAGGUUAGAUGGAUAAAAAUGGGGGAUGAAUGCACAAGAUUUUUCCAUGCACAUGCAUCUAUCAAGAAAAGAAGAAAUACAAUAACCCAUCUAAGAGAUGAAGGGGGUACUCAAACAACUCAACAUGAAGCUAAAGCUGACAUACUAUGGAAAUCCUUUAAAGAAAGGUUAGGGGUAUCAGAAUACACACACAUGUAUUUCCAGCUACAAGACUUAUUCCAACAGGAGGAUAACCUGGACAUUCUGGAUGAACCAUUUUCAAAGGAAGAAAUAGAUAAGGUAAUCACAGAACUUCCAAACGAUAAGUCGCCUGGGCCGGACGGAUUCAAUGGAGAAUUUAUCAAAAAAAGCUGGCAGGUUAUAGCAGAAGAUUUUUACAAACUUUUCCAAGACUUCUAUGACAAUAACAUUUGCCUACGAAGUAUCAACUCCUCAUAUAUUACCCUCAUCCCUAAGAAAGAAAGCCCGAUGGAUGUGGGAGACUACAGACCCAUUUCGUUGCUUAACUCGUCUCUUAAAAUAAUUACCAAGCUUCUGGCGAUAAGAUUACAACAAGUGAUCAAGAAUAUGAUACAUCAGAACCAAUAUGGCUUCAUUAAAUCCAGGAGCAUUCAAGACUGUUUAGCAUGGGCCUAUGAGUACUUACACAUCUGUAAUAAAUCAAAAAGGGAACUGAUCAUCCUCAAAUUAGACUUUGAAAAAGCGUUUGAUAAAAUUGAACACAAGGCCAUUAUAGAAGUUUUGAAGCACAAAGGGUUUGGGCCCAGAUGGUUAAAUUGGAUCCAAGAUAUCUUAGCAACAGGAACAUCUUCGGUUCUACUAAAUGGAGUCCCAGGGAAAGUAAUCCACUGCAAAAGAGGAGUUCGGCAAGGAGACCCACUGUCUCCACUUUUAUUUGUCCUGGCAGCUGAUCUUCUUCAAACCAUAGUAAACCAUGAAAAAGACUUAGGCAGUCUCAACCUUCCCAUUCCUCAGGGAGCAGGGACAGACUUCCCCAUAGUCCAAUAUGCUGAUGAUACACUGCUAUUCAUGGAAGCCUGCCCCAGACAGCUUUUGAAGUUGAAAGAAAUCCUGCACAUAUUUGCUCUGUCGACUGGGCUCAAGGUUAAUCACGGAAAAUCGACAAUGAUGUCGCUGAACAUCACAAAUGACAGAUUAGCCAGCCUAGCACAGAUCUUUGAAUGUCAACACAGUUCAUUGCCUUUCACAUAUUUAGGCUUGCCUCUGGGAACGACCAAGCCAAACAUGGAGCAUUUCAUGCCUCUCCUACAACGAAUUGAAAGGAGGCUAAAUUCCAUGUCCAUGUUCUUAAGUCAAGGGGGAAAACUAGAAAUGGUCAACUCAGUUUUGUCCUCAUCAGCUGUGUUUUAUAUCUCUACCAUCAGACUUCACAAAGGGGUGAUAAAACAGAUUGAUAAGUUUAGAAAGCACUGUUUAUGGAAUGGAGCAGAUCCAAGCUCCAAAAAACCUUCAAAAGCAGCAUGGCCAAUAGUAUGUACACCCAAGGAUUGUGGGGGCCUGGGAGUUAUCAAUAUUUAUGCACACAAUGAAGCCCUCCUUAUGAAGUUUCUACACAAAUUCUAUACAGAAGCAGAUACACCAUGGGUCAACUUGAUCUGGAACAGCUAUUAUCACAAUGACACACUACCUGGAACACAGUCCAAAGGAUCCUUCUGGUGGAGGGAUGUCCUUAAGUCGCUCGACAAAUACAAGGGCAUAGCCUCGGCUACGAUAGCAGAUGGCUCAACAGUCUUCUUCUGGCAUGAUCUCUGGAAUGGAAUAAUACCAAGUCAGACUUACCCAGAGUUGUUCUCCUUUGUCAAAGAAACUAACAACACGUACAAGACAGUAUAUGGAAGGACCAACUUCAUACAAAACUUCAGCCUUCCCCUCUCUGCCGAGGCACAUAGGCAAUACUUGGAUUUGCAACAAUUUAUUGAGAGAAUCAUACCAAUAGCAAACAGAGAUGUCUGGUCAUACACAUGGGGAACAACGAAAUACUCAUCACAGAAAGCAUAUAAAACAAUCAUUGGCCACCGUAUUGUUCAUCCAAGCUUCAAAUGGUUAUGGAGGUCAAAAUGUCAAAAAAAAACACAAAUUAUUCUUCUGGCUACUUCUCAGAGACCGACUAAACACAAGAGACCUUUUAGACCGAAGACACAUGCAGCUCGAGUCACAAACUUGUGAGAUGUGCAUUUGGCAGAAAAGAGAAACAGUUAAACACCUUUUCUUCUGCUGCAGAUUUGCCAAAGCUUGUUGGAACAGUAUAGGGAUAACAUAUACCUCCACAAGGACGAUUCAGAAUAUUAUCUUACAAAUUAAAAACAAGCUACAGGUUCCCUUCUAUAUGGAAAUCAUCAUUUUGAUAGCUUGGAGCAUAUGGACAACAAGGAAUGGAUGGUUUUUCAACAAUUUGGCUCCAUCUCCUGGGGUUUGCUUGCAAAAAUUCACGUCGGAAUUCAAAGACAUUUUACUAAGAGUAAAGCCAAGAUAUUUGCAACAAAUGGAAAUUUGGCUCCAUCUGUUCGCCGUUCAUUAGCAAGGGCUCUUUGUUUUGUUUUCGUUACCGGUACUCUUGCCUACCUUCCUUUGCUUUCUAGGUCUCUCUUUCUUUAUUUUGUUUAUUCCUUUUUUUUUACCUGUUCUAUUUCUAUUUCUCUUUGUUGACUCUUUUGAACUUGUAAUGCUUCAUUUCUAAUUUAAUAUAACCAGUAAGGGGCCCGCACCCUUCCUGUUUUCUCAAAAAAAAAUCAACUAGAAGCCGGCCGGAAUCCCAAUGGAGAUGAAAUGAUGCUAAGCCUUCCUUCUUCGUCUGGUGGAGUUCAGGACGCGUCGGCUACUCGGCUGUAUUUGCGUGAAGCAAAAUACCAUUUUGGGCAAGGGCCGAAAAUGUCCGCAACAUGGCAUCUGAAGCCCGUGGGCCCACCACGAGCUUGUAGUUCUCAAGCAUCAAGCCACCAUUUCUUUGUGGCAACUACUCAUCGCACUUCAUGGGGAUCAAGCGACAAAUCUAUUGGCAAAACCUCAGUAGGUGAACGAGCUGGAUAUAUAUACCCACGCUUGGGAUUCAUGCCUUAUAGUGGUAAUAGAAUCUCCUGAUCAACGCAGAAAAAUGCAAAAGGAACAAAAUUUGGCCAUUUGAUUGGUUUGAAUAGCUAUUGGGAUUUGCAGCCAUACACAAAUAGCACCACUUGAUUCAUCGUGGGGAAGAAACAUCUUCAUAAAAAAUUCAUAAAAAUCCAUUAUGAUAUAUAUGUACUAGGGCAUAAUAAGUUUAAGCGAGCAAGCCAUCAAGCUUAAUUACGUGCUACAGUACUGUAUCAAGCACGUACGAAAGAUCUCAUACGAAUCAACGAAUAAGAUAGAUAGAUAGAUGUCAGAGGCAUAGUACUAAUAAUAGGAUUAUCUAUGAUAUUAAGUACCCUUGUCUUCCUCGCCAAAAAAAAAAGGAAACUUAUCAUAGAAUGCAUAAACACCAGUGGAAAACUCGGUAUUCGUCCCGAGACUUAGUACUGGGUGGUUUUUGAACCGGUACUAAUACUCAGCAUUAGUAUCGAGUCUAACGGCUAGUUCCUAGGAGCCCCCCUGACCCCCUUUAGUACGGUUGGGGGCUUCAACCGUACUAAAGGUCACCCAUUAGUACCGGGUGGAGUCUCCACCCGGUACUAAUGGGUGACCUUUAGUACCGGUUGGAGUCCCCAACCGGUACUAACUUCGCUCCUAUAAAUCAAGCGUCUUCUUUCUCCUGCUCGAGCCAUUUCCUCCAGUUCAAGCUUCAUCCAUUCAUGGCGAAAUAGGGGAGGUGCUGCCAGAUUUUUGACCAUUUCAUGGGGAUUUCACUCAUUCAAGUGUUCUAAAGGUUAGAAACUUCAUCCUCCCUUCAUACAUGGUUAGUAUACUAAGUUUUAUGCUUUAGAGCUAGAGUAAUCUGUGACUUUUAGAAUAAGGUAUAAUGGAGAAAUUUUUUAUUUAUAUGCAUGUGUUAUUUAGAGCUCAUAUUUGUGAUUUUUAGAAUAAGCUAUAAUUUUUUAGAUGCUAUGUUGUGUAUUAGUCAAAAAAUUAAUAUGAGGUUAGAGGAAUAAUUUCAUAGUUUAGUAUUUUACAAAUAUGAGCUAAAUAAAUUAUGGGAAAAAAUAUAAUUUGUUUGUAUUUUAGUUAUUUGCAAAUAUGAGCGAGAUAAAUUGUGGUACAUAGAGAUAAUAGGAUAAAAUAGAGGUAUGUAAUUAGUUAUUUUUAGAAUAAGCUACAAUUGAGAAAGUUUUUAUUUAUAUGUUAUGUUUGAGCUAAAUAAUUUGUGGGGAAAAAAUAAUUUGUUCAUAGUUUAGUCAUUUGCAGAUGAGCUAAAUAAAUUGUUGUACUUAGAGAUGGCUACUGCUACUGGUGGUAGUGCCGAUGGUGGGGAUGAUCAUUGUUCCUCUCGCGGCAAGGGGAAAAUCAUAGUUGGCCCUCAUGAUAAGCCUAAGAAAAUGAGCACGUGGGAGAGAGCAAUGCUUUGUUAUUUGGAAAGAUGUCAUGAAGAUGCUAUUGCGGUGGGUGAGGAACCUCCUUUUGGUGGUCGUUAUGCUCCACCGCCAGUCCCGGGUGUUUCAAGUCCACUGAGUACUACGGUCGUAGGAGGCACAAAUAAACCACACAAUGAGGCUGGGUCACUGAAACCUUCGUCUUCGCCGCCUAGGGAUGCUUAAAGUCCUCCCAGAUAGUACUCAGUUGAUGGUUUGUUAUAGUGUAUUAUGUUGUUUGGGUUUGAAAUUUAAAUGUGUGUAUUUCUGUCUAAAAUUUCAGCAACAUUUGAAUUUAAUGGUAUUUGUAUCAUAUUUGUAUCAUAUUUGUUAUGCUUCAUGUAUAAUUCUAUGGAUGAUCAGAAUAUCUUUGGUUCGGUAAUACUUUGUAGGUAGAUCGGCAAUGGAUGUACAACACGGAUAAAUGCUCCAUGGAGUAUAUUAAUGGUUUGCGUGGUUUUCUCGAUCUGGCAGAGUUCAACAAGUUGUCAUAUGGUUUCAUUUAUUUUCCAUGCUGAAUUUGCAAAAAUGAGAAGGAUUACUCAUCCAGACUAUUUACACCCACAUAUAUAGUUUGGGGUUGAUGCCUAACUAUUUUGUUUGGACCAAGCACGGGAAAGAGGAGUUAUGAUGAAGAUGAUGAUGAUGAAGAAGAUGAUAACUACAUUCCUAACUGGACUCAAGGAGGUACCUUUGCAGAUGCUGCAAUGGGCGAGGCUGAAGAAGAGAUGAUUGCAGAAGAAUAUCCUACCGAUGAUUUAGGUCAGGUGUUGUGACAUGCAAAGGAAGACUGCGAGAAUGUGAAGGAGUCAAAGAAGUUCGAGCGUAUGUUAGAUGAUCAUGAGAAAUUGUUGUACCCAGAUUGCAAACAUGGGCAUAACAAGUUGGGUACCACACUAGAAAUGGUGCAAUGGAAGAUAAAAAAUGGAGUUUCUGACAAGGGUUUUGAUGAGUUAAUAAAAAUUAUAAAGAACAUGCUUCCCAAGGGGAACGAAUUGCCAUUCUCAACGUACAAAAUGAAAAAGUAGCUUCUCCUAAUUCUGUGAAGUGAUUCUCCAUCCUAAUUUUUAAAGUUUCGACAAAAACCAAUCUAAUAUUUUGCAUCUUUUCUUUUCUUCUUUUGCCUUAACUUUUCCAAUCCCAAUCUGCUAUUCUUCCUUCAUCUCGACGACGUUUGAAGGUGUUCUAGGUGGCCUGCCGGCCCUAUAACAACCCUACAUGCGCCUGCCCUGACAGGAUCCCUCUCGGGCGAGUGUUCAUCGAUCUACCGUCGGUCUUCCCGACAACCGGUCAGACCGGUCGUUGUAACCGGUCAGAUUGGCCUGCACCGAGGUGCUGCAGUGAGCCCCUCCGCGAGCUACACGAUCAUGUGCGUUCAUGUGUUGGCCUAAAAAAGCGUCAACACAAACUAUGAUAAUCUGCAAUUGUAUGCUAACAACAAAAGGAAAUCAACUUUGGCCACUCAUUUAUAAACAAGUGUUUGGAUGGGCCAUAAAAAUAAUUAAUAUCAAUGGAUUCUUGUCACGUAAAAACAUCUUCAUAUAACACCAGAAAGUAAAGUAGAAACAGGUUGGAGGGUUCAUUCGUAACCAUCCGCAGGCACCCCUUGCGGGAGUAGUAGGAGCACCCGGGAAGGGCGGCAUGGACACUGGUACGCACGUACCAAAUUGAGAACCCACCUGGCCACCUGGGCCGCUGAUCUUCAGCCUUGCACGAAUGAUCGAUCCUGCCACAAAGGAUGUCCUUGUGUUCUUGUGUAUCUAUAUUCUAUAUAAAGAGGUUACAGAUCAGAGUUGCUCAAAAUGGCAGAAAUACAGACCUGCACGAGACUCAGUCCACCACCCUCACAAUGGGUUGGUUUGGAUUCCGAGCAAGCUGUUCCUGGAUUUUCUUCUUCAGUUCACCUUUCUUGCGCCUAGCUUCCUCGUUGAUGGUUAUUAUUUCUCCACGCCAGUACAUAUAAACAUCGAGCUGGACUUCGUUGAUGCUUUGGAGAAUAUCUAGCCCAGAAAAGCAAAUCUCAUUAUUUGCAACCCCUGUGACCUGCAGCCACUCAAGUUUGGGCAUUGCUCCUUGCUCAAACUUUACCGAUUUGACCUUGCUUAUUACUCCAAAACUGAGCACCCUGAGGCUUCCAAAAGCUAUUCCAGCCUGCGAUGAUUUGAAAUCAAGUUCUUCACCCUGAAGCAAUGACCAGUGCCAAGACAGAACUAGAAUUUCCAGCUUCGCUAGGUUCCCAAGGAAUUCCAUAGCAGCAUCGUGCUCCAAUAGCCUGGUCCUCGCUAGUUUCAACUUCACGAGAUGCGGGAGCUCCUUGAUCCAUUCCGGCAACGUUUCCAGAUUGCCGUAGAGCUUGAGGCUCUGCAGGUUUUCCGGAGGGGAGGAUAUUCCAUCCAAGCAGCCACGCAAACCUCGCUUCCCUGCUGAACGCACCGACAGCGAUUCCAGCCUGCUGAGAUUGGAAACAGCGGCACGAAAAGCCGGGCCAUUCUUCCUGUUGAUGCCGGUGACUCCUAACUUGCGCAAUCCAGUGAGCCUUUUGAUGUCCUGUAGAACGGCAUUUCCCCUUCCAACAUUCACUUCCCUCAAUGUGUGCAACUCUUUCAGUUUUCUGGUCCCCCAUGGCACCGUAACGCUUCUUUCUUCAUCAACCCCCAUCAUGACAGCAGGGAAUUUCACGCAGCAAGCGAAAGUGCAUGCAUCACGCCUUGUGAGGGCCUUAUGGAGAGGGCCAUGAAUGUCCCCAAGAAGUGGUACGCAACAUGUUGCACAUUGACCCGCCCCCCAAAGACACCUUCUCGUUAAACUGUCCUUUGCCUCUGUUACAUAAUCUGUUCUCCGACCAGCGUGGAUGUACUGUAGCUUCCAAAGCUUGAUGAUGGUUUUGGGCAGAGCCCUUACCCGUGUACCUCUGACGUCUAGCACUUGGAGCUGUCUCAGGUUGCCCAAUGAAUCUGGCAGUAGAUCAAUACGAAAACAUCCUCGUAGAGAAAGGUAUUUGAGUUGAAUAAGCUUCCAAAUAUGAUCAAGCUGAUGGUAUUUUAGAUCAUCUAUAUCUUCUAAGUCGAGCACUCGUAGAAGCCUCAUCUUGUCAGAAAUGUAAAAUGGUCUGAAUUCUCCGAACACGGUUAGUGAUCGUAAUCGUGACAGAUCAACUAUUCUCUCUAACUCACUCUGAUCUCCUUUCCAGUUGCUGCUUAUUGCAAGAUGACGAAUUGCGCCUAGGGUACUCAAGCCACAUCCUUCCUCCAGUCUAAAAACAAGGUUUUCCUCCAUUGACUUUGAGAUGGCAAUGUCACGGAUGAGAUCAUGGACUUUGCAAGAGUCAAUUGAUUUUCUACUGCGAACUGAUUGUUGAAAUGGUAAAAUCAUGCUUCUGUAUUUGAGUUGUGUAAAGUAAUUUUCAGCCAUUUCAUUGGCAGACUUGCCACGCCUCUCGUGUGAGUACCCUUCUGCUGUCCAUCGAUGCACCAAACGCCUCUGGCUAAUGAUGUGGUCCUCAGGAAAAAUGGACAGAUAUAAGAAACAUGACUUGAGUUCAUAGGGUAAACCAUCAUAACUUGUCUGAAGGACGGUUCUUAUCAUCCCAAGCUCUGGAUUCAUCUCUAACUCAGCACUGAUAUUUUCAUUCAACUUUCUCCACUCAGCUCUAGUCUUUGGCCGGCUUGCCAAGUAGCCACCUAUUGUAACUAUUGCAAGGGGAAGUCCACCACACUUCUUUAGGAUUUUUUUUGUUUCUUCAAACAACUCAGGAUUCUUCUUAAUCAAAUCUGUUGCCUUCACAAGGGGAAGUCCACCAUACUUCUUCAAGUUUUGGUUUGCUUCUUCAACGAACUCUGGAUUCUGCUUAACAAAAUCUGCAGCCUUCCCAAAUACCUAAUUUUAAUGCAAUUUAAGUAUUUUAGUACUCUAAUCCAGAAAAUAAAUAAUUGUGCAUUACUUGUUGAUAUUUUGUUUGCUAGUGAUAGGCGCACGAUUGGUUGUGCACAGUGAUAAACACAUAUUGAAACAACAGUUUUCGUGUGAAACUUGGUGAUAUAUAAAUUUUUUUUGUAAGUUUGGCUGAAACUUGUCCAUUAUUCUUUUAUAAAAUAUUGCUGAAAAUUCCCACAACUUCACGAACUUUCUUGGGAGUUGCCUUUCAUAAAACGUGCCCAUUAUUCUUUUAAUUUUUUUCUGUAGUAGACCAUCUGUGAUGAGAGCUGUUAGUUUCCUUUAAUCUAACAUAUAUGAAUAUGAUGAUCUGAGGUAUACGAGAUCGGUUUACAGUAGAGUUGAAGCUAUGUUUUAAGGAAAUUUCCUAAAUACUAGGGAACUACUAAGUUUCACCUUAGUGUUUUAGAUGGCUUCAACACCAGAAUUUGGUCCCAGAGUUUUAUACCAACACUUAUGCUUUAGGGGUUAUAUGGAUAUAAGUUAAGAAAUUUAUAUGUUUUGAGGCCUCAAGAUGACAACUGACUUUUGUUUAUACCAUAUAAUUAUAAUCAGUUUAAUUUUGAAUUAGGGCUACUCUACCCAUAAGUUACAUUCGCGUUUUUUUAUAAUUUUCAAGUAAUAAGAGUGUAAUAAAAAUUCAACUAUUAGAUACCUGAAUAUAACACUUGAUCCUUUUGUUAGUAUGAAGUUAGAUCUAAGUUGAGUUAAUAUCUUGAAAUUGGAUAGCUGAAAAUAUAGUCCUAGUCCUAAUAGUAAGGAUAAAAAAUGCUUGAGUGACAUAUAUAUAGUCCUAGUCGUAAUAUUAAGGAUAAAAAAUAUACAAGGACAUUCACUCAAAGUGAAAUAUGACACACCACGUAGCAACAACUCAAAACAAAUGUAGGCUGCGCUACUUGAAAAUAAUUUAAUAUACAUAUGACAUCAUGUUCUUCUCAAAUUGUUAUUAUGCUAGAUUCAAAAAAUUUUAACCAUUGUAAAAAUCCCCAAGUUAUUAACAUUGCUGCAAAGACCCAUAGAAAUUUAAUACUUUAGCAACCAAAUGAAGCAAUGAAUACUACUACACGAUCCGUGGAUGUUUUCAGUGUUUUAGUUGGUGGGGGUAAUUAAUAGUUUUUAAAUAAUAUUAUCUUCAUAGUCAAUUGUAAAUACUUUUCAUUAAUGAAACAAACAAAAAAUAAAAAAGAUAGUUGACAGUGCUAUUGGAAACUCCUAAUAUUGGAAAAGUCACUUAAUAUAAUGACAAAAGUACCUUCCCUUAAGAUCCUAACAUAAAUGAGAACUAUUUUGUUGUUUCACAUGGAUAAAUGACUAUGAAAGGGAAUUAAACAAAUAAGGACAAAAGAAAUUAAAGCAUUCUCUACCGUGUUCAACAAGAGGACAAAACACAUUUUUGCUGUGUUCUGGUGGUGUUUGUGGUCUUGUUUUCUAAAAGGGAGAAUGUGCAUCAUUGAUAUACUGGGAGGUCAAAAUUACGUUAUAUCUGAAUCAUGGAUGUAUAGGUGAUUAGCGGCAAUAAUUGGGAUGGCAACAGCCUGUUGAAUAUCAAUGUAUUGAUCAUCUUGGUUCAGUUGUUCAAAUGAUAAACAAAUGUCAAACAAUUUGCAUGUUCCCAUAUGUUCCCUGUUGUUGACAGGACCAUCUUUAAUCUCUACGAAAUGCUAGACUGUUGUAGUAAUAAUGCUAUUUAAAAUCAAGCAAAAGUGACAAGGUUUCUAUUAUAUUACCUUUAAGCUGAAGAGGUUAAGUGCGUCCUCUUCUUUUAGAACUUCAAGGUUGUGUAUUAUUCCAUAUUUCCUGGAACAAUGUUUUGCAAUGCUUUCCUCCCUUGUAGUCACAAUUAUUCGGGAUGUUUUUUCCAUCCAAGAAAACCCUUGUAUUAUAUGGUCCCAUUCUUCAAUGGAUGAUAGAUCGUCCAGAACAAUCAAGCAGCUCUUCUUUUCUAAAAGCCUUUUCAACUCUUUAGUCAAGGCUUCAACCUCCAUCAUUGCUAAUGAUUCGGUCCUUUUGGGUCUAUUGUUCAACAGUUCUUCCUUCUUAGAAGACUCUUCUUGUAAUCGCCCGACUAAACUUCUAAGUAGAUCUGCAGGAUUGAAAGGACGCAUGAUUGUGACAAAAGCAUGCUUCUCAAACAUGUCACUUAACUUUGGGCUUUGAUAAAUGCCAUUGGCUAGAGUGGUUUUUCCAAGACCACCCAUUCCCCAAACAGAGAUCACCUGACUCUGUUGGCUAGCCUUGUUUGAGAUUAAUCCUAUAAUUUUGAAUAUUUCUUUCUCUCGACCAAUCAGUUGAGAUUCCUCCAAAGAACCAACACCCGUUCUGAUGCGAGUGAGGCUCUUUUUGUCCACCUUCGUUUCAUCAACAUCCUUACACUGAUUCUCUGUUAUCUCACUAGGGGCCACUGUUUGGGCAUUUGUACUGGUAGUGGCCACAUCUGAGUUAGAUACUAGAUCCAUAGAAACCAUUUCAUUUUGAGAACCCUGAACAAACAGAAAGUACAAUUAUUGGAAGCAACCUUUAAACUUCAUCUUCUUUUUAUUUUUUAAGGUUAUGUGUACCUAUAACAAAAGUACUAUAUAACCUUUUAUGUAAUCAUGCAGUGAGUGACUAUUGGUCAUAAAUCAAUUUAACAAGGUAUGAAAAUUACAGAUAACAAAAAUCUGGCCUCGCUGCGGUGCUUAAGUUUUUAAUAUCUAUAAGCCGAAGUCCUAACAUAAAUGACUAAGGUCAUAGUUGAAGACAUCAGGGGUAAAGGGUAAUGGUUUCAAAUGAUCCACCUCCAUCUGAAAUCAUAAAACCCAUCCAGUUAUUACUCAGUAAUAUGUAGUUUAAACGACGCUCCCUAUUGAUAGAAAUAUCUUGGUGUCCUCCUAUCUAAAUAUUUAAGAGUUUAGUGGCUGUGUUUAUAUUAGCUGUUGAAGAAGCCGUAAAUUAUAACUUCUUCAUCUAAUAUUCAACGAUGAAUCCCAAGUUAUGUUUAUCCUCCCCUCAAGAGAUGCUGCGAUCAACAUAGACUACAGCAAUGAACAGAUUCAGUAUCUUUCCCCUUCAUAUAGAUUUUCAGUUAGCAAAUGCAGUGAUUUCACAAUUUUUCUAGUAUAUCCAUUCAUUAAAUCUGCUGGAAUAUCCAUCUAAGAUUUAACAAGGUAUUAUUUUUCACAUUGACAGUGGGAUGUUGCUUUUCAAGCACAGAUGGGACAAUUGCUUUCGAGAUUUAUAUAAUUAAAAUAAAGCUUCAAAAUUUACAGUUAAGCAAGGAAGCUUAUAUUCCCUCCGUUUCAAAAUUUACAGUUAAGCAAGGAAGCUUAUAUUGCUUUAGAGAUUUUUGCUAUGCACCUAAAGGGUUAUGCCUAGAUACAUACCAAACUCUAUGUAUUUAUAAAAGCCAAAACGACCUAUAAUUUGAAACAGAGGAAGUACUUCAUUACACUGCAACUGCUUAAAUGCUGUUGGAAAAUAAUAUAAUCCUUGAUACGUGGAUAACUGAACCAGAAUAACGAUGUCACAGAAUGUUACUAAAAAUAAAAAUAUAAGUAUUACCUUGUCAUAGAAUGCAUAAAGCGUGUGAUCAGCAGACAAUUGCUUUAGCUCUGAGGCUUGGCUAUCUUGCCCUGCACAUAAGCUUGCAACUUCAACUUGUGUUGUUGACACUAUGAUUCGGCUUCCUUUGUUGUUGUUUGGCAGGCAUUUUUCGAUCUGGUCCCACUCUUCAAUGGUGCAGAGGUCAGUAAGUACAAUGAGAAACCUCUUCUCCUUCACAUAUCCAUCGAACUCCUGAACUAAAUUGCGCGCGGUUUUCUCUAUGUCCAAUAUAUCUUUAAAUCCUUCCAAUGCAAGAAAUUGGUUCACUAAGCUCUGGACAAAGCCUUUUGAACUGAAUGGAUGAGUCACCCUCACCCAUGCUCGGCUGGGAAAUUUGCUUUGGGUGUCUGGAUUCUUGUAAGCCGCCCUGAUGAUGGACGUUUGGCCGAUAUCUCCACCUGUUCCCCACACCGCAAUGACUCUAAGGUCAUCACCCUCCUUGUUGAUCAGUUGGACGAGAUCCACUCUCUGACUCUCCUCCUUUGCGGCACGCCUUGCAUCAUCAACACCGAAUAUGGCUGCAGCAAUGAUGCUUGAUUGCUCAGUGGCAGCUGUGGCCUUGGAUCCGGAGCCCUUGAUGAGGCGGUACCGAACAUUCCUCUGGCUCACAUCCUCAACCUUGGCCCUGAGCUCCUUCAUCUUCUUGGCCACACGGCGCCGCUCGAGCAGCGUGCGAGGGAAUCGCCACCAAGAUGGCCUCUCCACACGGACAGCAAAAUCUUGGAGACUGUCCUCGACGUCAUAGGCCGUGUCACGGACCUGCUUCACCCAGGUCUUCACCACCUUGUUGUCGCCUCGCUCCUCGUGUGCCUCCAUCAGGAAAGACUGCAUCAUCUCAAGCUCAUCCGAGACGAACGCAUGAUCUCGCUGGAUACCGAGCUGCAAGGCUACCUCCUCUGCGAAGGCAGAUUUCGCGUAGCCGACCGCUCCAUUCAGCACGGACUUGCCCACACUCAGCGCCGUCGCCUCCAUCGUUCUGCUGUGUUUCUCCGUGGAUCUAUACAAGGCUCAAAUUUAGAAGCUAAAACUCCGAGGCAGAAAAGGAUAGAUGGACAGGCGUUGAUGCCACCCAGUAAGAUGGCAAGUACCUGAAUUUUGGUGAACGCACAACCAAGGCAGGGGCAGAUCUAGAGGUAAAUAUGCUGCAAAAUACAUUCUUGCUGUAAUGACAAAUAAUACUCAACUGAACAGUACAAUCUGUGAGAAACUGAAGAUCUUUGAAAGUAUACCUUCUGUGGCCUAUGAGAUCUUGUGGCGUGGAAGUAAAUACAGCACUCUACUGCUUUGAUCCGGCGAGGCUCAAGGUCACGGGACGGCCCACACACGCACGCCCUGACGUGACCCGGCAAGCCAGCAAGGUUGAGGCCAAAUGGUGGAAGCGUGAUUCCAAGGCAGUAGGCACCGAGAUGGCGGUGCCGCCCUCGCCGACGAGCUAUGCGGCCACUACUCUUGCACCCGGUCGGCCUGUCGCCGCUCACACUCUGUGGUGUCUUGGUAGUCACCAGUCACUCCCUCGGGGUCAAAUUACUAUUUGUUUUAGCUAACGAAUAGUAAUUUGGGGUGGAGGGGGUAGAUUUUUUCAUUCAGUUACAUCCAAAGCGAUUGGGUAGCAACCAUAAUAUACUUAACCUACAUGGGGCGGUACAUUGGCAACAAUGAGAUACUUAACGAACCAACUACCCUAGUUCCUAACAUAAGCUGGUGAGGAGUCAAUGUGAUCCGCCAUAUUCUAUGUUCAACUUUAUCAGUAGGUGUAAGAACCAUAUUAUAUUUCAUUCAGUCCAUUCACGUCUUUUCGUUGGUUUGCCAAACAAAUCCCAAGAAAUACGAUCCAUAUGUCCUACCACCAAGAUCUCCAACACAUACAAUUUCUAAAAGAGAAAAGGUGCGUCGAUUAGGUUGAUCGGUGUAACCAUCCAGGCACAAAUUGACAAAAGUUCGAGGCCUUUCAUCAGCCCCCUUUUUUGUGCCCAACUGCCGGUCGCCAAAUGCCGAACACGUCAAGAAGACUCACCAAAUUUUGUGGUGGAUUUUCAGCGGCAAAGCUUCCUGUGAGAGGUACAUGAGGGAAAGCGACGUGAAUUCGUUGAACACUUCACGGGUGCUGAUGCUGUCUAUCGGAUGAGCAUGUGGAAUAAGAACAAAGUAGUGUGGAUAAGAGCUGAGGUGGUGAUAAGCUCUUGGCAUCUGCAUCUCAAGCACAAAAGUUUAGAUGAAACUUAGCUAAACAGGACCUUGAAAUGGAUGAUACUUGGUACCAUACUAUUUUGAAAUUCAGGAAAACAAGACGGAACGCUUUGCUGGACAUCUUCCGUACAACGCUUGUGUGCUCUUUGAGCCCCUCCAACGAAUCCGGUCAUGAGCACUACAAACAACUAGCGCGUAUAAUUGUGCUCCUUGAAAAUAGCUAGUUUAAGACCCCGUUUGGAUCAACUUCAGGCUUCCAAAAACUCUAGCCGACCUAAUUAAGUUUUGAUCUAGCUUUUACAACCUUACAAGCAAUCUUUCCUAAAAAUUUUCAGUACAUUUGUGCAUUAUGACUUUUAAAAGCUCUAGCUGAUCCAAAGAAGCCAGCUUGGUCUAGCUUUUAACAAUCCAUAAGUAGGCCGUACCUAAGAUUUAGAGGUCCUUGUGCUAAACAUAAAUUAGGCCCUUCAUUUACAAGUAUAAGUAAAUGAAGUGUAUUUUUUAUUUGAUUAUAUAACAUAUCAUGAUUAAGUGCUUGUUGUCCUGAUUAGUAGAACAGUAACAGAUGAGAGCGCAGGGAGGAAAAAUUGAAAAGUGGAAGUAUAAUUGACAGGAGGAUCUUGGAGGAAAAAAAAUAAACAAGGCUGUUUUGAGAAAAUGAAGCGGCGACCGUUGGAGAGCCGAUCUAGGAAAAAGCAGCAAAUUGUACUAGUUCCACCUUAUUUUGCUGGCUUAGUGAUAAAUACUAAUUAUCAAUAACCACUGGUAGAGAAUUGGCCUUUAGUCCCGGUUGGUAGGGUGCAUAUCUCCCGAAAAUCCAUCUGGGAUAAACCAACCGGGAUAAAAGGGGGGUCUUUAGUCCCGGGUCUUUUAACCGGGAGUAAAGGUCCACGCCAGGCGCGGGACAGGCCCUUUAGUCCCGGCUGGAUUCCAACCGGGACUAAAUGGCGCCCUGCAUGGCACUGCCUGGUGCCUGAAUUUUUCAUGCAUGCAUCACGUACGUAGUACCGCGGCCCUUUUGUUAACCUUUAGUAGUUGAGAUUUUUUUAGAACGAAAUCAACUAGUAUUUAAACGAAUAGGAUUUGUAAUUAUACAAUUACUAUAUAUAUACACAAUUCUUAUACACAAUUCAUAUACACAAUUCAACUAGCUUAGAACAAAUCGAUCAUAAUUAGCGCGUAUUAUAUAUACAAAUAAAUCAAAGUAUAUGUCUACAAUCUUCCCGUCGUGGUGUUGCUCAUCGGAGUGUCUAAUUGUCGUCCAUCAUAAUAAAAUUCUCCUUUUGGGAAUGUUCUAUCAAUUGAUCUCCACUGUGCCCCAUCUGCGGGGUGUCUCAGCAUCUCAUCUUCCUUACGGUCUUCUUUGUGCCAUCGCAUCAACUUAGCAUUCACCUUGUUCCUGAACAAACGCUUCAAGCGUGGUAUUAUAGGGAAAUACCACAUCACCUUCGCGGGAACUCUCUUCUUGGGAGACUACCCCUCGACAUCACCAGGAUCAUCUCGCCUGAUCUUAUACCAUAGGGCUUCGCAGACGGGACAAGCAUCCAAUUUCUCGUAUUCAUCACCACGAUAGAGGAUACAGUCAUUAGGGCAUGCGUGUAUCUUCUGAACAUCCAAUCCGAGAGGGCAAACAAUCUGUUUAGCUUCAUAUGUUGUGGACGGUAAUUCAUUAUUCUCGGGGAGAAUCUUCUUGACAAUGUUCAACAUCCCCUGAAAUGCCUUAUCGGACACACCAUUUUUUGCCUUCCAUUGCACAAAUUCUAGUGUCGUACCUAGUUUUUUAUGGCCCUGCUGACAACCUGGGUACAACAAUUUUUGGUGAUCAUCUAUCAUGCGCUGCAACUUUGCUGUUUCCUUCUCAGUUUCACAAUCUCUGUAUGCAUCUCGUAUCACCUGACCAAGGUCAUCAGUAGGGCCAUUUUCUGCAAACUUAUCUUCAUCAGCCUCGCCCAUUGUAGUACCUGCAAAAGCUUGGCCUGCAACCCAGUCUGGAAUGGUGUGUCAUCUUCCUCCUCCUCCUCGCCAUCUUCCAUUACGACCCCUAGUUCACCGUGCUUGGUCCAAAUCAAAUAGUUAGGCAUGAAACCGUAUUUAAACAAGUGGCUGUGAAUAGUCCCCCAGUAAUCCUUUGAAUACUCCUUCUUGUUAUUGCAUUGGAAGCAUGGACAACAUACGAACCUAUUCCCUGGCUUGUUCGCUUUGGCCACUUCGAGAAAAUAAUGCAAGCCAUCAAUAAACGCCUUGCUCCACCUAUCUGCAUUAUACAUCCAUUGCCGGUCCAUCUGCAUCGUAUUACGCAUAAAAAUGGAUUACACUUGACAAUGGAUUACGCGUGAAAAUCGAUUAAAGAUCCAAACAACAUGGUACAAUACAACAACAUGAAGAUCCAAAUACACAUAUUUAAAUUAAAGUUCCAAACAACAUGAUACAAUACAACAAGCCAUCCACUGGUUAUUAUCUAGGAGGACUUUAAGCAUCCUUGGACGGUGAAGACGAAGGCUCCGCUGACCCAACCUCAUCCUUAGGUUUAUUUGUGCCGCCUGAAACUGUAGUACUAAGUGGACGUGAAACACCCGGGACUGAGGGUGGAGCAUAACGACCACCAAAAGGAGGUUCCUGACCCGCGGCAACAGCUUCUUCAUGACGUUGCUGCAAAUAACAAAGCAUUGCUUUUUCCAGCGCGCUCUUUUUCUUCGGCUUAUGCUGAGGGUCAACUAUGAUUUUCCCCUUGCCGAAAUAGGAACCACGAUCGCCCCCACCAUCGCCACUUCCUCCAGUAGCAGAAGCCAUCUAUGUACAAAAAUUAUUACCUUAACACUGCAUAAGUUAUUGAACUUGAAGACCGUGAUCAUCUCGCGAGCAUGUCCUCAACUGGGCGGCACCGCACUUCGUCAUGAAAGAGGUUAGAUGCUACGGAAAAGGGGACACGGUCACGAUGUCCGUAUCCACUCUUUCUCGUAGAAUCGAACCUCCUUCUUGACAUACGUUGCUGCUUGGCGGAGAACAUCCUAUGCGAGAUGACCACGGUAUGCAAGUUCAACAAGUAUGGAUUUGAAAAACCUUAUUGAAUUUGAUAAGUUCAACAAGUAGCAGAAGUCAUCUAUGUACAAAAAUUGUUUCCUUACCACUGCAGAAGUUGUUGAACUUGAAGACCGUGAUCAUCUCGCGAGCAUGUUCUCAACUGGGCGGCACCGCACUUCGUCAUGAAAGAGGUUAGAUACUACGGAAAAGGGGACACGGUCAUGAUGUCCGUAUCCACUCUUUCUCGUAGAAUCGAACCUCCUUCUUCACAUAUGUUGCUGCUCGGCAGAGAACAUCAUCGCAGAGAUGAACACGGUAUGCAAGUUCAACAAGUAUGGAUUUGAAAAACCAUAUUGAAUUUGAUAACAUAAACCGUCUAGACAAGGUAGCAUCAUUCUUAAACCACUGCAAUAAUGCAUACUAUAUAUAUGACACAUCAAUCUCCCUCACAUUCUAGCUCAAAAUACCUCUCCAUUUUCUACUUCAUCAUCACAUUCUAGCAAAUAAUCUUUCCAUCUCCAAAGCAUAAAUCAAAGCAUAACACGAGGAUGAAGUAGCAAACCUUCACAACACUUGUAUUGGCCGAGUGAAAUUCCCACGAAAAUGAGGGAAAAAACUUCGGGCAGCACCUCCCUUGCUUCGGCACCACCGGAGAGUAGGUGAAGCUCAGCUCUCUCUGUCAAUGUGCUGGACUGGCUCGGGCUGGAGGAGGAAGAAAGUCCUCUGUCUUGGCCGUAUAUAAUGGGGAUGAGUUUUUAUCCCAGUUAAAAACUCCAACCGAGACAAAAAGGAACACCUUUUGUCCCGGUUGAAACUUUUUGUCCCGGUUGGAGGCUCCAACCGGGAUAAAAGGGAUAAAAUGGUGCCGCCACCGACGCCCCCCAGCUAGCCGUUGCAACCGGGACUAAAGGGGGGCCUUUCGUCCCGGUUGCAAUUACCAACCGGGACUAACUCUCCCCUCCAUUUUUGCCUACCGUGGCACACCCCCUUUUGUCCCGGGCCAACUUUAAACCGGGAUAAAAGGGGGCGCAUCGAAAGCCAAUUCUCUACUAGUGAACAAAAUUUGAUACCAUCAAUUCUUAAACCUGACCCGGUAAGAUCAAGUAAUUUAUUUGGUUGAAUUUUGAGUUUAAUUUGGCUAGAUCAAAUUCAAGUUAGAUAACUAAAAAAAAGUCAAGUUAGAAAAUAAUAGCGAUUGCAAGAUAUUGGACUUCUUUCUUAGUUCAAAAUUGGACCUAGUGAUUUCAUCUACACAGUAGAGUGUGUGGGUGGAUGCCUGGGUGGCUAGAUGAAAUCACUAGGCCCACAAACGAUAUGCUUGAGCCUCACUAGCGUCGAGCCUACCAUUCCAUUCAUCUUAUAAACUAGCUCACACUUCAUAAACUUUAGCUAACGUCAUGUCGAAAAUUUAGUAGCCUAAUCUUUCCAUCAUGAACCAAAAAAAUGCAAACCAUGAUAAUGUGCAAUUGUAUGCUAACAUCAAAAGGAAAUGAACUUUGGCCACUCAUUUAUAAACAAGUGUUUGGAUGGGACCUACAAAUAAUAUCAUGGAAUUCUCGUCAUGUACAAACAUCUUCGUAAUAACAUAAGAAAGUAAGUAGAAAUAGGUUGAACGGUUCAUUUUUAACCACCCACUAGGUACCCCUUGCGGCUGGCAGCUGCUGCAAGGCAGCCCCGCUGAUCUUCAGCCUGGUAGGUGUGCUCGAACCUGCUGCAACCGCAAAGUAUAUAAAGAGGUUACAGAUCAGAGUCGUCCGAAAUGGCAAAAGUGCAAAAGAUAUGUCUUUUACGGUAUACAAUACUAACUUAUACUACUGUUCGAAAAGAACUCGUAUAUAAGGAUCCGAUGGUUGAGAUUAAUUGUAUACUACUAAAACCUUAAGCUAGGUAGUAUGCAUGAGUGUAUGGGUAGUACAGGGUAGGUUAUCUUCUUUCCUUUUGCUCAUCGUCUCUUCAUUUCCAAUCGUUCGCACGCGCACUGGGCUGGUGGCGGCGAGUCCACAGCUGGAGGCAGCGAGGAAGAAGGAGGUCAGGUACGAGAAGAUCCGGACCAUCGAGAAGGGCCACCGGCGGCACUUCCACGACGACAUCACCGUCGUCAUGCUGUUCCUCGACAGGUGCAGGUCCGGACCGGAGGACAUCGACGGCAGCGCACGUCGACGUCUUCUCCUACAGCCCCGCCGGCGACCACGAGGACCCGACCAGACCCGUCCUGCGUUGAGGUUGAUCUCGGAUUCUCGGCUGGUGGUCCUCGUGCUAUCCAGAGAUUGAUGAACAUACUGUUCUUUCUUUCGGUGCUUGAUCCGAUCGCUCGCUCUCUAAACGAGAGGUACGCGUGAAUCGAGCCGUUUCCCGUUCAAGGAGAAUUUGCCUGCAAAGAAAUGCUAGUAUCGAAUCGAACAUACUGUGUGGUAAACGUACUGUAAACCUUCAUCAGUUCCUUCUUUCGUUUUAAGAGAAUGUGAAUGUUCUACUGCACUCCAACGAUCCUGCUUUCUAGUAUCUGUUCUUCCCGGUGUUCUUCAUAGCCGCCGGCGGCGAGCUCCUUCAGACGAGUGAGCAGCGAAUAUUAUAUGUCGUGCUACCCAUACCAAAAAACAGCCUGCACUCUACAUUACAACCAGGUGGUAGUAUUGUCAAACGUCAGAAUUGGUUCGUUUCUAUUCCGAGCAAGCUGUUCCUGGAUUUUCUUCUUCAGUUCACCUUUCUUGCGCCUUUCUUCCUGUCUUACUUCCUCUAUCUUUUCCCUGGUCUCAGGAUCUUUAGCAGCUCCUAUCCUUCUAUAAUCCCAGUAAAUGUGAACACUGAGCUGGACCUCGUUGAUGCUUUGGAGAAUAUCUAGCCCAGAAAAUCCAAUCUCAUUAUUUACUACCCCUGUGACCUGCAGCCGCUCAAGUUUGGGCAUUAUUCCUUCUUCAAACUUUACCGAUUUGAUGUACUGUAUGUUUGCAAGCAUGAGCACCCUGAGGCUUCCGAAAGCUCUUCCAGUCUGCUGAGAUCGGAAACGAAGUUCUUCACCCUGAAACGAUUGACGAGACAAGCUUAGAAUUUCCAGCUUUGACAGUUUCCCAAGGAAUUCCAUAGCAUCAUCGUGCUCCAAUAGCCUGGUGCUCACUAGUUUCAACUUCACAAGAUGCGGGAGCUGCUUGAUCCAUUGCGGCAACGUUUCCAUAUUGCCAUAGAGCUUGAGGCUCUGCAGGUUUUCUGGAGGCGGGGAUAUAGCAUCCAAGCAGCCAUGCAAACCUGGCUUCCCUGACGAACUCACAGAUAGUGAUUCCAGCCUGCUGAGCUUGGAAAUGGCAGCGCGAAAAGCUGGGCCAUUCUUCCUGUUGAUGCCGGUGACUCCUAACUUGCGCAAUCCCGUGAGCAUUUUGAUGUCCUGUAGAACAGCAUUUCCCCUUCCGACAUUCACUUCCCGCAAUGUGUGCAACUCUUUCAGUUUUCUUGUCCCCCUUGGCACUAUAGCGCCUCUUUCUUCAUCAACUCCUGUCAUGACAGCAGGGAAUUUCACGCAGCAAGCGAAAGUGCAUGCAUCACGCCUUGUAAGGGCCUUAUGGAAAGGGCCAUCAAUGUCCCGAAGAAGAGGUACGCAACAUGUUGCACAUUGACCCGCCCCCCAAAGACACCUUCUCGUUAAACUGUCCUUUGCCUCUGUUACAUACUCUGUUCUCCGACCAGCGUGGAUGUACUGUAGCUUCCGAAGCUUGAUGAUGGUUUUGGGCAGAGCCAUUACCCAUGUACCUCUGACGUCUAGCACUUGGAGCUGUCUCAGGUUGCCCAAUAAAUCUGGUAGUAGAUCAAUACCACUACAUCCUCGUAGAGAAAGGUAUUUUAGGUGAACAAGCUUCCAAAUAUGAUGAAGCUUAUGGUAUUUUAGAUCAUCUAUAUCUUCUAAGUCGAGCACUCGUAGAAGCCUCAUCUCGUCAGAAAUGUAAAAUGGUCUGAAUUCUCCGAACACGGUUAAUGAUCGUAAUCGUGACAGAUUAACUAUUCUCUCUAACUCACUCUGAUCUCCUUUCCAAUUGCUGCUUAUUGCAAGAUGACGAAUUGCGCCAUGGGUACUCAAGCCACAUCCUUCCUCCAGUCUAAAAACAAGGUUUUCCUCCAUUGACUUUGAGAUGGCAAUGUUACGGAUGAGAUCAUGGACUUUGCAAGGGUCAAUUGAUUUUCUACUGUGAACUGAUUGUUGAAAUGGUAAAAUCAUGCUUCUGUAUUUGAGUUGUGUAAAGUAAUUUUCAGCCAUUUCAUUGGCAGACUUACCACGCCUCUCGUGUGAGUACCCUUCUACUGUCCAUCGAUGCACCAAACGUCUCUGGCUAAUGAUGUGGUCCUUAGGAAAAAUGGAUAGAUAUAAGAAACAUGACUUGAGUUCAUAGGGUAAACCAUCAUAACUUGUCUGAAGGACGGUUCUUAUCAUCCCAAGCUCUGGAUUCAUCUCUAACUCAGCACUAAUAUUUUCAUUCAACUUUCUCCACUCAGCUCUAGUCUUUGGCCGGCUUGCCAAGUAGCCACCUAUUGUAACUAUUGCAAGGGUAAGUCCACCACACUUUUUUAUGAUUUUUUUUGUUUCUUCAAACAACUCCGGAUUCUUCUUAAUCAAAUCUGUUGCCUUCACAUGGGGAAGUCCACCAUACUUCUUCGAGUUUUGGUUUGCUUCUUCAACAAACUCUGGAUUUUGCUUAACAAAAUCUGCAGCCUUCCCAAAUACCUGAUUUUAAUGCAAUUUAAGUAUUUUAGUACUCCAAUCCAAAAAAUUACAUAAUUGUGCAUUACUUGUUGAUAUUUUGUUUGCUAGUGAUAGGCGCACAAUUGGUUGUGCACAGUGAUAAACACAUAUUGAAACAAUAGUUUUCCUGUGAAACUUGGUGAUAUAUAAUUUUUUUUGUAAGUUUGGCUGAAACUUGUCCAUUAUUCUUUUAUAAAAUAUUGCUGAAACAAAUAAGGACAAAAUAAAUUAAAGCAUUCUCUACUGUGUUCAACAAGAGGACAAAACACAUUUUUGCUAUUGGAAACUCCUAAUUUUGGAAAAGUCACCUAAUAAAAUGACAAAAGUACCUUCCCUUAAGAUCCUCAGAAAAAUGAGAACUAUUUUGUUGUUUCACAUGGCUAAAUGAGUAUGAAAGGGAAUUAAACAAAUAAGGACAAAAGAAAUUAAAGCAUUCUCUACUGUGUUCAACAAGAGGACAAAACACAUUUUUGCUAUGUUCUUUUGGUGUUUGUGGUCUUGUGUUUUCUAAAACGGAGAACGGGCAUCAUUGAUAUACUGGGAGGCAAAAAUUACGUUAUAUCUGAAUCAUGGAUGUAUAGGUCAAUAGCGGCAAUAAUUGGGAUGGCAACAGCCUGUUGAAUAUCAAUCUAUGUAUGGAUCAUCUUGGUUCAGUUGUUCAAAUGAUAAACAAAUGUCAAACAAUUUGCAUGUUCCCAUCUGUUCCCUGUUGUCGACAGGACCAUCUUUAAUCUCUACAAAAUGCUAGACUGUUGUAGUAAUAAUGCUAUUAAAAAUCAAGCAAGUGACAAGGUUUCUAUUAUAUUACCUUUAAGCUGAAGAGGUUAAGUGCAUCCUCUUCUUUUAGAACUUCAAGGUUGUGUACUAUUCCAUAUUUCCUGGAACAAUGCUUUGCAAUGCUUUCCUCCCUUGUAGUCACAAUUAUUCGGGUUGUUUUUUCCAUCUAAGAAAACCCUUGUAUUAUAUGGUCCCAUUCUUCAAUGGAUGACAGAUCGUCCAGAACAAUCAAGCAGCUCUUCUUUUCUAAAAUCCUUUUCAACUCUUUAGUCAAGGCUUUAACCUCCAUCAUUGCUAAUGAUUCGGUCUCGCUGGGUCUAUUGUUCAACAGUUCUUCCUUCUUAGAAGACUCUUCCUGUAAUCGUCCGACUAAACUUCUAAGUCUAAGUAGAUCUGCAGGAUUGAAAGGACGCAUGAUUGUGACAAAAGCAUGCUUCUCAAACAUGUCACUUAACUUUGGGCUUUGAUAAAUGCCAUUGGCUAGAGUGGUUUUUCCAAGACCACCCAUUCCCCAAAUAGAGAUCACCUGACUCUGUUGGCUAGCCUUGUUUGAGAUUAAUCCUAUAAUUUUGGAUAUUUCUUUCUCUCGCCCAAUAAGUUCAGAUUCCUCCAAAGAACCAACACCUGUUCUGAUGCGAGUGAGGCUCUUUUUGUCCACCUUCGUUUCCUCAACAUCCUUACACUGAUCAUCUGUUAUCUCACUAGUGGCCACUAUUUGAGCAUUUGUACUGGUAGUGGCCACAUCUGAGCUAGAUACUGGAUUCACGGAAACCAUUUCCUUUUGAGAACCCUGAACAAACAGAAAGUACAAUUAUUGGAAGCAACCUUUGAACUUCUUCUUCUUCUUGUUAUUUUUUUAAGGUUAUGUACCUAUAACCAAAGUACUAUAUAACCUUUUAUGUAAUCGUGCAGUCAGUGACUUUUGGUCAUAAAUCAAUUUAACAAGGUAUGAAAAUUACAGAUAACAGAUAUCUGACCUCGCUGCAGUGCUUAAGUUUUUAAUAUUUAUAAGCCGAAGUCCUAACAUAAGGUCAUAGUUGAAGACAUCAGGGGUAAAGGGUUAUGGUUUCAAAUGAUCCACCUCCCUCUGAAAUCCUAAAACCCACCCAGUUAUUACUCAGUAAUCUGUAGUUUAAAUGAUGCUCCC
This 45818-nucleotide long non-coding RNA is filed under the name Setaria viridis. Its description in RNAcentral is "long non-coding RNA (SVIR_LNC009799)". The record is from RNAcentral. Lineage: Eukaryota; Viridiplantae; Streptophyta; Magnoliopsida; Poales; Poaceae.